RNAcentral lists this long non-coding RNA (45414 nucleotides) under Sorghum bicolor (sorghum). RNAcentral's name for it is "long non-coding RNA (SBIC_LNC017953)". The stretch from base 25398 to 25491 matches the Rfam family "MIR5387 microRNA precursor family". The record is from RNAcentral. Lineage: Eukaryota; Viridiplantae; Streptophyta; Magnoliopsida; Poales; Poaceae.
UGGGCUGCUGCUGCUUAUGCAGCUGCAUGAGCUUGCUCUUCAAUUCGUUCAUUCAUCAGUUGGCUUCGGGUCGGAUACUUUGCCAAGUAUCCAUGUCCAGGACCUUUCAUGCUCUUGCAUCCAGCGGUUUCCUUGUAGGUUUCACGAAGAAUGUGCCUUUCUUGUUCCUUUGAAAUCAUAGAAGCGUCCAACUCAAUUCUCUCUACAAUUUUGGAGAAGGUGCUUUCCUAAAAUUAAGAACACAGUUAGUGUUUUUAGCUUUAGCAAGUAGCAAUAGGAGUUGCAGUUCAAGUAAAAUAAGAAUUAGGUAAAAUGGAUACUUUGGAAAUUGAACUAUAUCAAUUAGAUUCAUGUACUACUUACUUCCUCUAAACAUCGAAGUCCAUGUUAAUCAUGGAAAUAUGUUUGCUUAGCAAAGCAUGUUGAGAGCUAAAAAGCAAUGGACAGUUGAGCACUAGCAUUUUAAAGAAUUAUAUCACAUUCAAGAGAUAACGAACACAAGGACAAAGAGAGGACUGAACACAAGUUUGAGGAUAGAUAACUAUAUCAUUCACGUAACAUAUUUACAGCAGAAAAAAACUUGUUCAGAUAACUCAUGAGUUAACUAUAUGACAUGUAUAGUAACGAACAAAGUAGUACUUACAUAUAUUUCCUUAGCAGCAUCAGAAGAUCAUCGACCUUCCUUGCUGCGUGUACUCCUCCAAAGUGCCAAAUCAUCUGGCUUAUCACCAGUCUCUAGGUUUCUCUGAUAUGAGAAAAUUGAAUAAUGUAACUGUUUAGGUAAAAAAUAAGAUUAGGUAACAUAUCCUUACCUGCUCAUAACUAACUUGUGAAAAAGGUUUUGAUCCUGUAAGAUGUAGUGUCUGUCGAUGCUGAGAAUUGCUAGAGUUUGUGUUGCUUAUUCGCUAAUAUAAACACAGAUAUGUUAGUUGCACUAAAAAAAUACAGAAAAUAAUGACAUAUAUGUCAGAGGUCUGGAACCUGAAAUUUGUCACUUCCAAAAUAUAACACGAAGUAGUGCCACUCGACAAUGUCCAAAUCUUCUGGCUUAUAACUCAUUCUUUGAUGGUAACUAUUGUAUGCCUUGUACGUGGAACUCAAUUGAGCUCGCCAUCCUCUGUAAUGCUCCUUUGCAAUCUUCCAUAUCCUAGCCUUCUCAACAUCAUUAUUUUCAAUGUUCCACCUAACCUUCUCAUGACCAACAAAUUGUGAACAAUUUAGAUAUUAGAAAGAAUUAAUUUAGCAUAUGCGGGAGGAAGACUGUAACAUACCAUUAUAUCUCGUGCUAUUUUAUCUUUAACAUUUUGAUCUACAUCUCCCCACUUUUGAACUCCAAUAUGUGGAGUCCUUUUCCUUGUAAACUUUACUAUUUCAUCAAUAAACGCGCGAUAGUUUUCUCCUAUAGGGCCGCCUUGCGUGGAUGAGAAAUCUAUACUAAGUUUAUGACUACCAAGUUUAAAUCUCUUAGCAUCGACCGAUAAACCUUUAACGGUUCCACGCCCAAUCUUUCUCUUGUCGCCAACCCCUACAAUAAAAAUGAUAUUAUAAAAUUGAACGUUUGUAAACAUUAAAAAUCAGCAUUUUUAUAUUAUAGUAUUGUCUGAACACUCUGGACCAUUGCAUACCUUUCUGAGAGGCCUUUGGCCUGCGAGCAUGAGAUGGAAACUGCAUUGGUGUUACGCUGUUGUCACCACUUCCAUCUUCUUCAAUGGUUUCAUCAUCUAAAAAUCCAUCUGCACAUACAAACAAGUGAAAGUACACACUUACAAUGGAGUUGGAAAUAUAUACAUCAAGUUGUACUAGUGCUAAGAUAAUUCAAAUUCAGAUUACGAAUAUCUUGAAGAAGCCCAUUCUGCCUCAACCAUUCUCUAUAUGUUGCAACAGUAUUCAGCCGGGUGUCAUCCUUAAAUUCUGCGAAAUACAUAUAGAUGUUAUAUAUGUAGUGUGAGUUUUAGAACAAUACCUAAAGUUCAUUUAGAUGUAUUUUUCUAGUACAUUAUUACCUAGAUUGUUUUCAUCCUGUGGCAGCUCCUGAAGCCACACCUUGUAUGCAUCAAUGUCUUCAUCCUGAAUUCCAUUUCCACUAACUUUCUCAUGUGUACUACGUUGCUUAAUGGGUGUAAUUGAAUAUUGUCCUUCUCGAUCUUGCUGAGUUGUUGAAACUGCUAACCUAACUAUAUUUUCUUCUAAACAAUCUUCUAUCAUUGCUAAUGCAUCUUCUUCGUAAUCUAUAGGCAGCAGCAAAGCUCUAUCGUUGCCACAUCUCUUGAAAAAGUACAUGAAGUCCCUCGAAGAAUAACCCAUCUUAACUUUGAACUUUAAUAAAUUGGCAAAGGUGACUCUAGCACGGUCAAUGUCCAAUAUGGCACGACUCUGGUCCUUGGGCCCCCUGAGAAAUCAAUAAGUACUUGCCAAAUAUCUCCCAUUUUCCUACAGAAAAAAUAUUUUAACUCAACAUAAGUUCAGGAAAUACAGUGAAUGCCAUGGCCUUGUUUGGUUCAGGAAGUAGUUAUAAUAGGUCGCAAACACAUGUUAAGUUACAGACAAUAAUAAUCAGUAUUUGAGAAUGAUAUGUAGACGCCACUAAAAAAUGAUGAUAACAUCCAGAAACACUUGUUAAUUGAAUAUAAUAAUUAUCAAUAUACUGGUGUGCUGCAUCAAGCUGCUCGGCAGAGUGAAGUCUUGAAAACAAAAUUAUUUUCGAAACUAAAAUGUUCAAUAUGCAUCCACAAACAAAGGUAAAAUAUUAAUCUUUGCAGCAACUAAGCUUUUGAAUGCCAACUCCAUGAGCAACCAUCCCCAUGCCCCCUAUAUCUAUCGUGACCUGCAAAUUUAAUUUUAGAAUACUCCAACUCAUUCAGAAAUCAAUGGCACUUCAAGAAUAACAAACCCAUGGCAGCUAAUUUCUAUCAGCUAAUUCAGAGGUUAAAUCUGAGGUUAUUGCCGACUCAAGAAACAAUUAGCAAUUGCCUUUUAAGACAUAGAAGGGAGUAAUUCAUGAGUAACUCAAGAAAUAAUUAGCAAUUAGCAAUUUGGAAUUAGGAAUUUUGGGAUUUUACGAGAACCUCUUGCUGGACCUGGACGUAGGAGAUGGGGAUCUCAUGGACGGAGGAGACGGCGAGGACGGUGGAGUCGGCAACCUCGUGGUGGACGGCCUCCGCGGUGGUGGUGGCGACGUCGAGCUCCUGGUGAACGGCCGCUGCGGAGGUGGUGGCGAUGACAGCCUUAGUGUGGUCUUCUCCAUUGCGGCCGGGAGUGGAGAAGGUGCGAACACUGCCACACGUUCGGGCAUUAGCACCGGUCGGGAAGGGCCUGUUGCCCCGGUUCCCGAGCCGGUGCUGCCCUUCCGGGACUAAAGGCCCAUCCUUUAGUCCCGGUUCGGGUAACCGGGGCUAAAGCCCCCCCAUUAACACCCAACCGGUGUUAAUGGGUCCUGCCAGGGCUGCCACGUUGCAGGACCCUUUACCAACCGGUGUUAAAGGGUUUCUUUUUCUUUUUUUUGGUUCACUUCUUUGGUUCUGUUUAUUGUUAGUAUAUAAUAUAUAAUAAUAGAUUUUUCAAUACAUGUUUUUCUGAUACAAUAAUAUAUUUAUAUUACACGCAUAUUAAGCAUAAAUAAAUGAAAAUUAUAGGCUUAGCCUUAAUAAUUAAGCUUUGCCUAUAAUAAAAUGAAUAGGCCACAUCAAAAAUUAAAUAGAUAUGUAAAAAGCUUUAUAUAUAUAUAAUUUUAUAUGUACAAAAUUCGUAACACAUAUAUACAUAGAGUUUUUUCUCCCAAUGUCUACAAAUGGUCAUCGUUGUUUGGAAUAAGAGUUUCGUUGCCGUUGAAGUGAAACUCGCCGUUUAGAUUGAUCACUUGGUCGCGGAGAAAUCCUGCUAUCGUCUCUUGGAUAGCUUUGAUUCGGUCUUGUUGUAGGACCUUUUCCCUCAACCAUUCCGUCUUUAAUUUGAAAUAAAUAAAAAAGGUAUUAGUUAUCUAAGUUAUUCAAUAUAAUUCAGGAGAUAAUGAAAAGAGACAUGUAACGUACUCUGAGCGUCUCUGUAGGUGUUUGAUUGACUUGUGUCAUCAUGAAUUUGCACACGUAAUAUGCACAUAGAUUGUUCCCCCCUUCUUGUCUUAAACACCACUGUACGAUAUAUAUAUAUAAAAUAUUCACGACUACGACAAUAAGAAGGCUACAAGUUAGCGAAAGUUUGCUAGCUAGUAGAACUUACUUGUGGAUGUAUUAUGUUAAGCGGCGCUUUACAUCCACUGAGAUGUUCACGGUCAAUGAAUCUUUCCCAAACCCUACACACAGCCAUUGUGGAUCGUGAACUAAUAAUUACAGAGUCAUAUUAUGAUAUUCUUCUAGCUGAGAUCGACAUUACGUAACUUUGAAUAAUGUUUACCAUUUGUUGAUAAUUUUCUUGUGGUUUUCUCAUGGAGUCAAAGAUUAUCAACCGGUUCUUGGGAAUUUCAAUGACCAUGAGUAUCCAGUGAAAGCUGUUUACACACAUAUAUAUAUAGUCAGUCCUAUAAUGUAAAAUAAAAUAUGCAUGCACUUAAUAACUAUAUAACUCACUCAAAGUUGAAGAGGAAGAGUAUUUUUUGUUUUUCUUUUUGGUUCACAAAGAACCUCAUAAGAUUGGUGCAGAUUUCUGUCUCAUGAGCUUCUGUCCACACUGCCCUGCGGAGCCUUGAAAACAAUAUAAGGGUCAACGAACCCAAUACUAUUGUCAUUUCUCAUUCUGAGCUCUCUCAUUUGGUGCCUGCAUAUAUACAUACAAAUCCUAAGUGUGUAAUGAUUAUAUACAUAUAAUUAAAGAAGUUAGAAGUAUAAUAAAAAGAAAAAAAUACUUACAGACAAAAGCAGCUGACAAAAGAUUUGUCGAGAGUGUCGAGGUGACAUAAUUGGUGCAAUUCUUCGAACUGCACGUAUAUAAGGUCAUCUCCACGGAAGUAGUGAUGUUGUCUAAUACGAACUGAAAUCCAAUUUUCUCCCCUUUUAGACGCCUCAAUGCACCAUUUGUUUAUUGCAAACAUUUGUGUGCCGAGCUCGUGUAAACGCUUAGGGUCGAAUAGACUCCUGCUCGGUUCAUAUCUUGCCCUCCAUUGAUCAACUACCUCGGCUUUUUCAAAUGUUUGACAUCCAAGAAUGGCGGCAAUUUCUUCCAUAUUUAAACCGCUCUGUCCAAAGUAACGCUCAAGCGAGUCUAGCUCAGACAACGCUAAGGAUUUCUUUGGCAUCAAGUCUUCAUUUGAGCCGUAUUGAUUUGGCACAAUCAAAGGGGGCACCGGUUUUGAUAUUUCUCCGAGCUGUGGGACCCCCUUUCCUACUCUCUUCUUAGGCUGUGAAGACUUGACCAGAGACCGCUCAUAGUCUCAAAGUGCUGGCUUUUUCUGAGCUUCGCGUUGCUUCUUUUGAUGGUCCGCCACCUUCUGCCUCAGUUCCGAUGGCUUUACAUAAAAGUACGGCUUUUCUGGGUUUUGCCACUUUUUACUAUCCUCCUUCAAUUUAUAAAAAAAUUGUUUGACCUCAGCUUUGGAUGCAGCAAUUAACUCCUCUUCACUCUUUUCAUAAGAUAAUUUUUCUGGCGUCUUAGCUCUCUUUGCUGAGGCAGCCUUCUUUGGAGGUGGGACCGAUGACUUCGGUCCUUCUUGGGCGGACCGCUUCUGACUACCUCGCUUUGGAGGCGAGGGGACCGACCGUGCACUCUUUGGAGAGGGCGGUGCAGGCAGUGGAGGUGGUGGGGCCGAUCUUUUCGGCGUUGGAGAACGCGGUGGAGGAGGUGGAGACCAUGGUGGAGGCGGUGGCGGGGUCGGUGUGGCCGCCGCAGGUGUUGGAGGAGAUCCCGCAUUGUCACCGCCCGCAGCACUAUGAUGCGCUGGGGAGAGAACUGGACUUAGGUUGGAGGAGUCCCUGCAAAGAAAACAAUUACAAGUUUUGUGAGCAAACUUUUUUUUAAUUUCAAUACAUAAUAAAUAAUAUAAGAUGUAAAAUCACACACAAACCUAUGUUGAGGAAUAAUUAUGAAGCGCUUGCGCCAACAAAUAAAUGUCUUCUCAGCUUCACCUAAGGUCUUCUCUCCGUCUCCCCCUUCUAUGUCUAGAGGCACAUUGCCACAACCUUUCUCAACCCUAUCAACCGAGACGCUAGCAUAUCCACUAGGUACUGGUCGAUUAUGGAUUCUUGGAGUUCUCGUUCGGUCGAUAGGGUUGACAACAGCGAUAGCCACCUUUUUUGUUGCAUUUCCAUCUGGUACAUGCAGCUCACAGGUAGCAAAAGCCUCUGUGACAUCAUCCACGGGGAAGUGUAGCUUCGUGUCAUCCUGAAUGGUUGGUACUUCCGUGGAUGCGCAGCUGCUUUUCAACUGGCCUGGGGGGCUAACGUUGACCUCAGGCUGUGAUGUACCUUGCCCUUUCGUCAUUUGACUAAGUGCUGCUUGCACUUGCCUUUGAAUCUCCGCCUGCAUCCAUUCUUCACGAGCUUUCUCGCGCUCUUCUGACUGCAGAACAAAAGCUUCAAGGCGGCGGAUCCGCUCUGCCUCCUCAUCCUUCUUUCUCUGGCGGCUUCUGUACGUAUCUUGAUCGACUUGGAAUGAUUGCAGCCACGGAACUGCCCCAUAGCCUCUCGUACGCCCACCGUGCUCAGGAUUUUCAAGCGCAUAGGUGAGUUCAUCCUUCUCCCUGUUAGGCCUGAACUCACCAGACUGAACCACUUCUCGUGCACGGACUAGUCUAUCUGCUGCUUUAGAUAUUUCUUGGCCCCAAACUAGCACCCCGGUGUCUGGGUCCACGCUUCCCCCAUGACCGUAGAACCAAUGCUUGGAGCGCUCGCUCCAAUUCUUUGCUAUUGUCUCGGGUGUGACCCCCCUAGCAAGCAUCUCCUGUUCCAUUCGGUCCCACUUGAGAACAGCACUCUUAUAACCACCUGAUCCCAUGUGAUGGUGGUAUGUCUUUUUACUUGCAUUCUCUUUGUUUCUAUUGGCUCGUUCCUCGCCCUCUUCUGAUGUUUUGUACUGCACAAAGUCAUCCCAGAAGGCCCUCAGCUUUACAUAUUGCUUGAGGUUGAAAUUUGGAGUCUCGUUUUUCUUGACAUAUUUAUUGUACAAAGUCUUCUUCCAAUUCUGGAAGAGUACUGCCAUCUUCUUUAUAGUCCAGUCAUAAAUUCGCACCUUCAACUCUUCAUCGUUGGUGUCGAAGGUGAAAACGUCUGUGACGGCUUUCCAAACUAACUCCUUGUCACGAUCAGAGACAAAACUGAUCUCAGGAGCACCUCGCUUCUCUCUCCAUUCACGAGCACUGAUCGGUAUUUGAUCUCUCACAAGAUAUCCACAGUGACUAACAUAUUUAUUUGCAUGUUCACCAAGUGGUCUGCCUGUAGCUAUCUCAAACUCAGAGAUUACAUAGCGGACCUCCAACGGCUUCUUUGGCCCUCGUGGAGGUACGCUUCUCCCCGUAGAGGUCGAUCCAGAAGGCUACACGUAGAUAUAGAAACAAAAAUACUAAAUUAAUAACCAAGUAAGUCUAAAACCUAAUGUAAUAGAUGCAUUAAUUAUAUAUGUUUACAUUUACAUACCUUGCCAGUAUUUUCUUCUUGUUGCACGACAAGUUGUUGCUCAGGCGCAUUGCUCUCUUGUUGCUCAGGGGCAUUGCUCUCUUGUUGCUCAGUAGGAUUGCCUUGCGUGAUCUUGUGGUAAUCAAUAAAGUACUGACUACCGUCGUCGAUUAUAUUUUGAAUGGCAUCUUCCAUAUAUUUAGGAUCAUCAUGAGCACGAUCAACCAUUUCUAUGUCUGCAACCAUAUAUAUAUAUAUAUAUAUAUUCUAUAUAAGAUAAGAAAUACACUAGAAUAAUAUAAGUGCUAGAGUGCUCCAAACUAAAAAAUAAUACUAAAAAAAAUAAUAUGAACAAUAACACUAGAAUAAUAUAAGUGCUAGAGUGCUCCAAACUAAAAAGUAAUACUAAAAAAAUAAUACGGACAAUAAUACUAGAAUAAUAUACUAGCACAAUAUAUUUCAUAACAAUUCAAAACACUACAAUUCAUAAUAUACUAGAAUAAUAUACUAAAAAGUCUUUUAAGCCAAGUAAUAUACUAGAAUAAUAUACUAAAAAUAAUACUAAAAAAUAAUACUAGAAUAAUAGUAUAAACAAUAAUAGUAUAUGUUUUAAGCCAAGUAAUAUACUAGAAUAAUAUACUAAAAAAUAAUACUAGAAUAAUAGUAUAAACAAUAAUAGUAUAUGUUUUAAGCCAAGUAAUACACUUGCACCUAGAAUAAUGUACUAAAAAAAUUAAUACUACAAAAUCAUACAAGAAUAAUAUAAGUGCUAGAGUGCUCCAAACUAAAAAAUAAUACUUUAAAAAAUAAUACGUACAAUAAUACUAGAAUAAUAUACUAGCACAAUAUAUUUCAUAACAAUUCAAAACACUACAAUUCAUAAUAUACUAGAAUAACAUACUAAAAAGUCUUUUAAGCCAAGUAAUAUACUAGAAUAAUAUACUAAAAAAUAAUACUAAAAAAUAAUACUAAAAAAUAAUACUAUAAUAAUAGUCUAAACUAAUAGUAUAUGUUUUAAGCCAAGUAAUACACUUGCACCUACAAUAAUAUACUAAAAAUUAAUACUACUACAAAAUGAUACAAGAAUAAUAUAAGUGCAUAUAUAUAUACAUAAUAAUACAAAAUAAUAGUAUAUAAACUGUUGGUAUGAAAUAUAAGUGCAUAUAUAAUGAUACAAAAUAAUAGUACAUAAUUAAGUGCAUAUAAAAUAAUAGUAUAUAUACAUAAUGAUACAAAAUAAUAGUAUAAAAUAAUGAUACAAGAACAAAAUGAUACAAGAAUAAUAGUAUAUAUAUAUAUACAUACAUACAUACACAUACAUAUAUAUAUAUAAGAUAUAUAUAUAUAUAACAUAUUAUUCAUCGAAACUGUUGGUAUUCAUAUAUAUAUACAAUUCAUAUAUACAAUUUUAGUCUAUACAUAUAAACUAUUGGCAUUUAUAUAUAUAUAUAUAGAUCGAUGAAGAAUAUACGUAGGAUCUGGUGGAGAUAGCCGCUGCAGCAGCGCUGGAGAUGAACGGCGGUGCUGGGGAGACGAACGGGCGGCGCUGGAGAUGGCGGCGGCGGCGCUGGAGACGAACGGCGGCGCUGGGGAGACGAACGGGCGGCGCUGGACGGCGGCGGCGGAGCUCUCUGCUCGACGAAGAUGAAGACAAAGGCAACUGCCCAGAUCCAGGGCGCCUGGGGCUUAUAUAGGGGCGGACCCUUUAGCACCGGUUCCAGCCACGGACCGGUGCUAAAGGGUCCUGCGCGCGCUAGGGUGGGCUCCUGAAAUUUUCAGGACUCUUUAGCACCGGUUCCCACUAUGGGCCGGUGCUAAAGGCCUUGUUUUUUAGUUUAGGGUUUUUCAAUUGUUUAUAUAUACAGUUUAUAUUAUAAAUUGUAUAUUAAAUUAAAUAUUGUCCAUAAUAUUUUUUAAACAGUGACAUAUAUUGUAGUUUUUUUUAUGUACACAUGAAAAAUUUUAACCUUAAAUAUCUUACUGUUUUUUUAUAAUUUGCAAUGAUUUUGUAAGAAAUGUUUACUAUUUUGUUAAUGCAAAAAUAUAUUAUUCCAAUAAAUUUACAAAAACUAUAUCCAAUCAACUGGAAAUCUAUUUUCACAUCAUAUUGACGUUAAACUUUUUAUUUUUGUUAUUUAUUACUCGGAAUGCUAGUAGGGUAUUGUUUUCAUCAAAUAAAAAUCUAUUUAUCAUAUAAAAAUAUAUAUCUUGAUGAACACACCCUUUGACCGAACCCUAAAUUGUCCCAAAUGGAAAAGUCAUGAAUACAAAGUUUGUUACACUCAUCAAGUUCUACAUUUUGUCUAAUGGUCAACUUUUCUUUUGGAAAAGUUUGAACCGCUAAAUUUUGAAUUUUCAGAGAAUUCAUGGCCACGCAGUGGUUUUGGAACCCUAGAUGGUCUCGAAUGGAAAAGUCAUGAAUACCAAAAUUGUUCCACUCAUCAAAAUUUACAUUUAAUAUAUAGACCAUUUUUGCAUUUGACAAAGUUUUAGGAAGGUGUAGUGAAAAUCCACAAUUGACACAUAUAGUUUCAUAUAGUUUGUGUGAGUGUUGAUAUUUGGGAACGCAAUAAGGAAUUGAUCCGUAAGCGCACGGAUAUCGGUGAGCACUUCACCCGGGAAAUUAUCCAGAGUAUCGUAUUUAUUUUUUUACCACUAGGAGAAAGAGUGCAUCUGACUAACCGGUCUAUUACUACUAACCCUUUAGGCAACAAAGAAUGUCUCUCGAUGUGAGUGAUAAAUAGAGAAGACUGCAACCGUAGUCUUCUUCUAAACUUGGUAAGGAUGAUCUACUGUUCUAUUAGAGAGGCUAACGGAAUCUAGACACCACAAAGGAUGUUCAACCCGCACCUAUAAACCCUAUCCUUCCUGCUAACGAGAUAUGGUCUGCAAAGGUAACUCGGAAUUGUCACGUUCCUCACUACUACCACGGUCUAGCUAGUCAGGGAAUAUCUAUGAGUACCCCAGCCUAAACACCACGUUUACACCAGCAAUGAUUACUCUAAACUCUACGUGAAGAGAUUAAAGUAAACUCAUAAACCAGAAGAACAAUAAAACAAGAACUUACUAGAAUUUAGAAGUCGAAAUAUUGAAGAAUCCUAGGAGCAAGCUUCGUGUUAGGAGAACUUGAUCCCGUAGGUACAAGCUUGGAGUAGACACCGACAGGCCGAGCUUCCUCCAAUCUACACCUCCACUCUAUCUCUCUCAAUCUAGUAGAAACUAGAAGAUCUAUUUCUACUUUAUAUUGGUUGCUAAGCCUAAAAAGAAAUAUUAAUUAGAGAAGAGGUUUUCCUUUGAGGGCACCCCUCAAUCUGUAUGACAAUUUCUUGUCUUCUCCAGGGGCCAGGGGGGUCUCCUUAUAUAGUCCUUCUCCUUUAUGCGUUUUUGGGUCGGUAGGCGAGGUGGUACUACAUUAUCUUUGAUCCAUUAGGUCGGUGGAACAUCGUGUGCGAAGAGAGUCCCGAACGGGAUCCAGCAGGGGGCGGGCGCCCUGGGCCUGGCCCCUUUCGGCCUCUGCUUCGUUCUCGUGGCUUCUGGAGUGUUCUAGAUGGUAGACAAUCGCGCGGUGCGUUGAUAUCUCUAUGUAAUCCCGACAUGUGGGUCUUUCUUCCUUAUUUCCUGAUAACCCCCUGCAGAAACAGAUAAACAACAAAACUCGUGGAAUUCUGUCAGAUCAAACCCUAAUUCUAGGUGUUGGUUGCAUAUUGGUCCUUUCUCUUGUUUAUCUGAUAAUUAAAAUUGAUACUUAAGAACCGUCAACAAAUACCCCCAUACUUAGGCUUUUACUCGUCCUCGAGAAAAGGAUGGUUAAGAACAAUACUUGGGGUAAAGCAUUCUAAAACAUUCUUUAUAUUUGCAGGGUAUUAGAAUCCACUGUGUACUGUAGUUAGGGAAGUAUAUGAUUAAGAGUAAAGAUUCUUUCUUCUCAAUCCUGUUACUUGGAGUUUUUGUAUAAUUUUGAAAGAAAGCUAGCAUACCUUUUAUCCUCAUAGGUUCUCUCAGAUUACUCAUUAUCUUUUAUAUAUCUCACUGAGGCUGUUUUAAUUUGCAAAAAUUCUUAAGCAUAUUUACUUUGCAUUUAUUGCCUGAUCAAAACGGGAUCCAAGGAGGGGAAUGUCAUACUCUUAGAUCAAAGACUUUGGAAAUUAAAACUUUGUCAAAUCUUGCUGGCAUAUUGCUUAUUAGAGGGACCAUGGGCUAUCAUUUUCUUUUUCUCUCUUUUUUUUAAUGGAUACCGAGGUAUCCCUAAUUCUACUGCCGGACACUUGUCCAUUUUUUCUGCGAGGUUGUCGAGCACUUGCUCCUUUUUAUUUCCUCGAAAUAUCUUUAUUUUUUGCAUAGCCCAUGCCUCUAAUGUAAUAAUACUUCGGAAGAGUGAAUCUUUCUGAAUAAAUGUCUUGAUCUUAGGAGUAUGAUAAAUCUCUCAACAAGGGUCUAACUCAUUUUGAACAAACUCAAUACAGAGUAGAUAGCUUUUAUAAUCAUAAUUAAUAUUUUCAGUUUUAUCAGGCAUAUAAAAUACUGAGGAUGGUAGCUAGAAUUUUGAAGAUUUUGAAAUAAAUUCUCCAAGCAACUCAUACUCUACCAUUACAUAUUCCAUAUUGACUUAAGUAAUACAGGGUUUUAAAAAUGAUUUUCAAUAAUUGCAAGUUUUCAAGAAAUAUCACAGAUUGAGAUUAAUCAUGAUUAGAAAUAUUUUAAUCUUUUUAAUGUAUCAUGUCGGAAACAGUAAUCUGCAUAAUCAAGAUAUGUGAAGUGUAAAGUAAAGUGUGCAGAGUGUGUACCUGAAUCGUGGAGUGGUGUAGUCGAAGUGUGUUUGGCGUGUCGAUGGAUCUCUCCCAUACUUGUUUUCUGCUUUCUUGCACAAAAAUAAAGUAGAGACACACAAGACAUAAUAAUAGUAAUACUCUUUAUUAAUCUUGAGGCAUUUAUUACAAAAGACUAGUAGCAAACUGAUGAUAAUAGUAAACCUAAACCGAAUUUAAAGAUAAAUAACUAAGAUGCAUUGCCUCAAGGUCUAAUCUAGAUAACUUAGCGGCGCUCUAAUUCCUUAAUCUUCUUGUUGGCACUGGCAAGAUCAUGCCUAAGGCCUAGUAUAAUAGUGUUGUGGUUAGAGAGCUGCCUAGUGAGGGAAUUAAUCGAGGACUGGAGGUCUAUGAUAACUCUGUCUAGCAUGCGAAUGUCCUCAUCAAUAUCGACUAUAGUCUUGCGACGCUUGGGAGGUGUCUCAAAAGCACUGAGAGCGUGUUUCGGGGCUGCCUUUGGAGGGAUGAAACGGACUUUGGCUGCUCUAAUCCCUUCAAAGUAAGGCCUCUCCUCCUCCGUAGUGUAGCGAAUACUGCUGAUCUCGCCGCUCCGGUUGGUCUUGACUCCAACGAGACUCUUAUUGGGUCUAGGUGGAAGGAUCCUUGUGCCGGAUGGCACUGGUCUUUGUCUUGGAUGAUGAUCCCUUAAGGAGUAGGGGUUGUGGCGGUGCGGUGAGAACUGGUUGAGCAUGAUAGGAUUGGGCGAAGCUACGUUGGCGUAAUGGCAUGGCUUCUAGCUGUCGCUCUGUGUUGGCCGGGACGAGAGCACGGGCAUCGAGGUCUUCCACAGGCUCCAUGUUGAGGUUGAAGGGGACGACUUCCCAAUCAUUGUGGAACUUCUCGGCCAUUGGAGCAGCAAGGAACUAAUCAAGCUCUAAUUGAAGAAGAAAAGAAGGCUUGAUGGUUUGGUGUUUGAAAACUGAUGUCAGGGGUCUGUUUAUAUAGGGGUCAAAAAGUGUCUCUAUGGGUUGUUCGGGUUGCUCCCGUCGAUGUGCUUGCGAAGCUUUCCAUCUGAGGGAUUAUUCGGAUUACCAUAAGUGCAUUUUCCAUAACAGAGAAAAUCGGGACCGAGGGGGAACAGGAGCUGGGCGCCCGCCCACCUGAUCUGGGCGCCCGCCCUCUCUCUGGCCCCUCUGUGGGUCCACUUCCUCGAGCGCGUUAUUAGAUGCAAAACUAUUUAGAAAAAUAUAUAUAUGACCCAAAAACGUUAGAAUAAAAAGGUCGGGCUUCAAAUUCUCCAUGGGAAGGUGAAAAUGGACUACGUCUAUUUCUUCUAAUUGUUUAUUGGGAUCUAAAAAUAAUUUAAGACGUUGACCAUUUACCUUGAAUAACGUACCUUCGUCAUUUUGAAGUGUGAUAGCUCCGUGGGAUGAUGAAUUAAUUACCUUGAAUGGUCCUUCCCAUUUGCUCCGGAGUUUUCCAUGCCCGAAAAGCUUCACCCUGGAAUUAAAAAGCAAUACCUUAUCUCUGGGUGUGAACUCCUUCUUGUUGAUUCUCUUGUCAUGCCACCUUUUGACUCUUUCUUUGUAGAUCUUUGAAUUGUGAUAUACCUUCUCUCGCCAUUCUUCCAAUUCUGAUAGUUGCAUUCUUCUAUAAUCUCCAGCAACAUCUAGGUCCAUAUUCCAUCUCUUUAUGGCUCAGUGUGCUUUGAACUCUAGUUCAACGGGUAGAUGGCAAGUCUUCCCGUACACCAAUUGGUAUGGAGACAUUCCAAUUGGGGUCUUGUAUGCUGUCCGGUAUGCCCAGAGUGCAUCGGGUAACUUGUCUUUCCACGCCGUUCCCAUUUCAUUUACUGUCUUCUGAAGAAUAUUCUUGAUUUCUUUGUUGGAAGUCUCUGCUUGGCCACUUGUCUGCGGAUGAUAGGGGGUAGCGACGUUGUGACGGAUUCCAUGUUUUGAUAGAUAUUGCUUGAAGCGUUUGUCGAUGAAGUGUGCUCCUCCAUCACUUAUCACUACUCUGGGGACUCCAAAUCUUGGAAAUAUAAUUUCUUCAAACAUCCUCUUUGAACUGACGUUGUCGGCAUGCUUGCAAGGUAAUGCCUCUACCCACUUGGAGACAUAGUCAACUGCCACCAAGAUAUACUCACAAUUUCUUUGAUGGAGGAAAUGGACCCAUGUAGUCUAUUCCCCAGACAUCAAAGAGCUCAAUCUGAAGGUUGUUGGUGAGUGGCAUUGCAUCCCUUGUAUUUAUGUUUCCGUGUCUUCGACAUGGCCCACAUCUUCUGAUAUAAUGCUUCGUAUCUUCAUACAUUGUAGGCCAGUAGAAUCCACACUGCCAGAUCUUUGAAUGUGUGCGGAAUGCUCCAUAGUGACCUCCAUAUGGUGAUGAAUGACAUCUGUCGAUGAUCUUCCAUCCUUCCUCAGUGGUCACACAUCUCCUAAGUAAGCCAUCAGAGCAUACUCGGAAGAGGUAUGGCUCAUCCCAUAUAUGUGAACGACUUUCUUGAAUAAGCUUCUUCUUGUUUGCUCCUGGUGGUACAUACCCUGAAACCAUAAAAUUAACAAUAUCUGCAUACCAGGGGUCAGACCUGUUAAUCCCGUAGAGCAUGUCGUCCCGGAGUGAAUCAUUGAUGGGGGUUUCCUGUGGACUCUUAAAAUACAUUCUAGACAAGUGAUCAACAAUAGAAUUUUCUACUCCCUUUUUAUCUUUUAUUUCUAAGUCAAAUUCUUGGAGUAAUAAGAUCCAUCUAAUCAGGCGAGGUUUAGCAUCUUUUUUAGUGAGCAAAUAUUUUAGUGUAGCAUGAUCAGUGUAAACAAUUAUUUUAGCUCCAACUAAAUAAGAUCUAAAUUUAUCAAUGGCAAAGACAACAGCCAAAAGCUCUUUUUCAGUGGUUGCAUAAUUAAGUUGAGCUCCUAUCAAAGUUUUACUGGCAUAAGCAAUUGCAUGAUGCUUCUUAUUUUUAGUUUGUCCCAAAACUGCCCCCACAGCAUAAUCACUAGCAUCACACAUAAUUUCAAAAGGCAACAACCAAUCAGGGGGUUGAAUGAUUGGUGCAGAGAUGAGUGCUUUCUUUAAUAAAUUAAAAGAUGUUAGACAUGCAUCAUCAAAUUCGAAAGGAGCAUCCUUGGCUAGCAAAAGAGUAAGUGGUCUAGCAAUGAAUGAGAAAUCUUUUAUAAAUCUACGAUAAAAACCAGCAUGGCCAAGAAAGCUUCGAAUUCCUUUUAUAUUCAUAGGUGGAGGUAGUUGUUCAAUUACUUCAAUUUUAGCUUUGUCUACCUCAAUACCUCUUUCAGACACUAAGUGUCCCAGCACUAUUCCUUCUCUAACCAUAAAAUGAUAUUUUUCCCAAUUAAGGACUAAGUGCUUUUCUUCACAUCUUUGCAAAACCUUGUCUAAGUUUUCAAGACAACUAUCAAAAGUUUUUCCAUAAACAGAGAAAUCAUCCAUGAAAACUUCCAUAAUCUCUUCAAUCAUAUCAGAAAAUAUAGACAUCAUGCAUCUUUGAAAAGAAGCUGGUGCAUUACAUAACCUAAAAGACAUUCUACGGUAAGCAUAAGUUCCAUAUGGGCAUGUAAAAGUGGUUUUGCUUUGAUCAUCGGGAUGGAUCGGGAUCUGAUGAUACCCUGAAUAUCCAUCUAAAAAACAGAAGAAUGAAUGGUUCGCUAACCGCUCUAGCAUCUCAUCUAUGAAAGGUAAAGGAAAGUGAUCCUUUCUCGUGGCUUUGUUUAGUUUUCUAUAGUUUAUGCACAUCUGCCAUCCUGUGACGGUGCGUUGCGGAAUUAGCUCGUUCUUUUCAUUCAUAAUAACAGUCAUGCCUCCCUUUUUAGGCACAACUUGAACUGGGCUUACCCACUCACUGUGCGGCACAUGAUAUAUAAUCCCUGCAUGCAGCAACUUUAUAACUUCCUUUUUAACUACCUCUCUCAUAGUGUUAUUAAGUCUACGUUGGGGUUCUCGAGAGGGUGAAACAGAAGGAUCUGUUGGAAUACGAUGGGUACAAAUCAUAGGACUGAUUCCUGUAAGAUCUUGGAGUGAGUAGCCGAAAACUGAGUGAUGUUUCUCAAGAAUGGUCAUUAAUCCCAGAGUUUGCUCCUGAGUGAGUUUAUUGCUAAUGAUCACAGGAAACUCUGGAUUAUUGUUUAGGAAAGCAUAGGUAAGACCGGGUGGUAAAGUUUUAAGCUCUAUGGGGGGUCUAGUUGUUUCUGCAAACUCAUCUAAAGGUUCAGGUUCAGAAGGUUCGGUUUCUUCUUCUAUGAAGAAAGGAGUUUCGUCUUCUAAGUCUGAUUCUUCUAAAAGCUCUAGAGAUGCAGCCUUUACCUCCUCCAUAGGAUCAGGCAAAAGAUAUGAUUCGGCCUUAUUGUUUAAGGAGUGUGAAAUUGUUAUUGGGAAUUUAAAGGCUUUUCCAAAAGAAAUGUGUAGCUUUCCAGUAUGACCUUCAUAAAGGAGUCUUCUAAAAGGUUGUCCUAUCAACAGGUCGAAGUCCCAUGUAUCAAAGAUAUAGAAGUUCAAAUGAACCAUGGAGCCUUCUACCGUAAGAGGUAGGACAUUAAUAAUUCCAAGACUGGGGACUAAUCGUCCCGAAGAUUCCUUUAUGACCUUUGUUGUGGGGGUUAAGACAAGAUUUUUAAAUAGUUUAAGUGCAAAAGAUUUAGACAUGAUGUUGAUGCCCACAACAGGAUUAUAAAGAGCAUUAAAUCGAUCAGAAUUAUAAGCACAGCGUAUAGUUAUAGAGGGUGUGUCCAAACGGAUCAUAUCAGAGGAAAGCUCUGAUUCCUCCAACCAUUCGCUACUCAUGACUGAGAUAAGCUCUCUCAAUUGAUAUUCACUUGGCAAAUAAAUGCUAAACUGGCCGUUUUGGGGUUUGUCAAUAGAAUGGUAGUUUGAAAUGUUUCGAAAAUCGGCAAAAAGAUCGGAUUCUAUAUCCAGCAUGAAGUCCGGUGGUGGAAUUUCUUCCUCUUGUGGCUCAGAACUUGGGAUAGCUAAAGUAGAUGAAGAAUUUGGCAGAGUGUCUACUUCGGCUUCGUAGGUUUCAUCAUGAAGGGUAUUAUCCAUCUCAGCUUCUAGGAUUCUAUCUAGGAUCACUCUAGCUUCAUCAGUAGGGAUGCGAAAGAAAGAACCUCUAGACAUUGUGUGUAGCAUUUGUUUGUGAUUUUUCUGAAGACUUCGAAAAAAGUGAAAUAAAAGAACAGGGUCUUCAAGAUUAAGGUUUGGACCAGAUUCUAAAAGAUCAGAAAAACGUUUCCAGGAUUUUCCCAAAGUUUCAUUAUCUUUUUGUUUAAAAGAUAGGACUUCGAGUCUAAGGUCGGCUAUACGGUCAAGAGAAUAGAAAUCUAGACAAAAGUUAGCUCGUAAAACUCCCCAUUCACCUCGUUGUUGACUUACCUUCUGACUGUACCAUUGUCUAGCUUCUCCCCUUAAGGAAAAAGGAAAAAGCUUCCAAUGUAAAGUUUUAUCAGAUAUGCCUUCAAUGCGAAGACAAUCACAUGUUUGCUCAAAAUCUCUAAUAUGAAGGUAAGGGUUUUCGUCUUCCUUUCCCGAAAAAGAUAGGAUUUGAAUCAUGGCAAUCAACCUAGAACUUAACUUAUACUGGGAUGUUUGGAUAGGUUGUGAUGACUCCCAUGGUAAAAGGUCAGUUACUGAAAGGAUUGCAGACUCAUGGAUUGAUUUAGAAUUUUGGUUUUCCAUAAGGUAAGAGUAAAGAAAAUAAAUAAAGAAUAUAAAAGAUAAGAAAAGAUAAAAGUAUAGAUACAAGCUAGUAGUAAGACUCAAGGUUAUCUCAGCAAACUGUCUUUCUCCCCGGCAACGGUGCCAUAAAUGCUUGUUGAUAUUUGGGAACGCAAUAAGGAAUUGAUCCGCAAGCGCACGGAUAUCGGUGAGCACUUCACCCGGGAAAUUAUCCAGAGUAUCGUAUUUAUUUUUUUUACCACUAGGAGAAAGAGUGCAUCUGACUAACCGGUCUAUUACUACUAACCCUUGAGGCAACAAAGGAUGUCUCUCGAUGUGAGUGAUAAAUAGAGAAGACUGCAACCGUAGUCUUCUUCUAACCUUGGUAAGGAUGAUCUACUGUUCUAUUGGGGAGGCUAACGGAAUCUAGACACCAUAAAGGAUGUUCAACCCGCACCUAUAAACCCUAUCCUUCCUGCUAACGAGAUAUGGUGUGCAAAGGUAACUCGGAAUUGUCACGUUCCUCGCUACUACCACGGUCUAGCUAGUCAGGGAAUAUCUAUGAGUACCCCAGCCUAAACACCACGUUUACGCCAGCAAUGAUUACUCUAAACUCUACGCGAAGAGAUUAAAGUAAACUCAUAAACCAGAAGAACAAUAAAACAAGAACUUACUAGAAUUUAGAAGUCGAAAUACUGAAGAAUCCUAGGAGCAAGCUUCGGGUUAGGAGAACUUGAUCCCGUAGGUACAAGCUUAGAGUAGACACCGACAGGCCGGGCUUCCUCCAAUCUACACCUCCACUCUAUCUCUCUCAAUCUAGUAGAAACUAGAAGAUCUAUUUCUACUUUACAUUGGUUGCUAAGCCUAAAAAGAAAUAUUAAUUAGAGAAGAGGUUUUCCUUCGAGGGCACCCCUCAAUCUGUAUGACAAUUUCUUGUCUUCUCCAGGGGCCAGGGGGUCUCCUUAUAUAGUCCUUCUCCUCUAUGCGUUUUUGGGUCGGUAGGCGAGGUGGUACUACAUUAUCUUUGAUCCAUUAGGUCGGUGGAACAUCGUGUGUGAAGAGAGUCCCGAACGGGAUCCAGCAGGGGGCGGGCGCCCUGGGCCUGGCCCCUUUCGGCCUCUGCUUCGUUCUCGUGGCUUCUAGAGUCUUCUAGAUGGUAGAAAAUCGUGCGGUGCGUUGAUAUCUCUAUGUAAUCCCGACAUGUGGGCCUUUCUUCCUUAUUUCCUGAUAACCCCCUGCAGAAAUAGAUAAACAACAAAACACGUGGAAUUCUGUUAGAGCAAACCCUAAUUCUAGGUGUUGGUUGCAUAUUGGUCCUUUCUCUUGUUUAUCUGAUAAUUAAAAUUGAUACUUAAGAACCGUCAACAGUGAGAUUCAAGAAUUGGUGGGUAUUGUUAACUUAAACUUUCUCAAAUGGAAAAGUUGUGUAUAUAAAAAGUUUAGAUCUUGAUGAUAUCUAACAACUUGGUAUUCAUAAUUUUUUCAUUUUAAGUAAUUUAGUUUGUCAUUUGACCAAGUUUGACCAAAACCCGUCUUGGAUUUUAUAGAAAUGUGAUUAGGAUUGGCAAAAAAUUAUCCAAAUGGAAAAAUGGACAAUAUAUAAAAUGUAGAUCUUGAUGAUCUCUAACAACUUUGUAUUCAAAAUUUUUUCAUUUGAAGUCAUCAAAUGGGCCAUUUGAUCAAGUUUGACCAAAGUCAAAGCAUUGGUUUUUACAAAAACACUCUUUGACCGAACCCUAAAUUGUCCCAAAUGGAAAAGUCAUGAAUACAAAGUUUGUUACACUCAUCAAGUUCUACAUUUUGUCCAAUGGUCAACUUUUCUUUUGGAAAAGUUUGAACCACUAAAUUUUGAAUUUUCAGAGAAUUCAUGGCCACGCAGCGGUUUUGGAACCCUAGAUGGUUUUGAAUGGAAAAGUCAUGAAUACCAAUAUUGUUCCACUCAUCAAAAUCUACAUUUAAUAUAUAGACCACUUUUGCAUUUGACAAAGUUUUAGGAAGGUGUAGUCGAAAAUCCACAAUUGACACAUAUAGUUUCAUAUAGUUUGUGUGAGAUUCAAGAAUUGGUGGGUAUUGUUAACUUAAACUUUCUCAAAUGGAAAUGUUGUGUAUAUAAAAAGUUUAGAUCUUGAUGAUAUCUAACAACUUGGUAUUCAAAAUGUUUUCAUUUUAAGUAAUUUAGUUUGUCAUUUGACCAAGUUUGACCAAAACCCGUCUUGGAUUUUAUAGAAAUGUGAUUAGGAUUGGCUAAAAAUUAUCCAAAUGGAAAAAUGGACAAUAUAUAAAAUGUAGAUCUUGAUGAUCUCUAACAACUUUGUAUUCAAAAUUUUUUCAUUUGAAGUCAUCAAAUGGGCCAUUUGAUCAAGUUUGACCAAAGUCAAAGCAUUGGUUUUUACAAAAACACUCUUUGAUCGAACUCUAGAUUGUCCCAAAUGGAAAAGUCAUGAAUACAAAGUUUGUUACACUCAUCAAGUUCUACAUUUUAUCUAAUGGUCAACUUUUCUUUUGGAAAAGUUUGAACCACUAAAUUUUGAAUUUUCAGAGAAUUCAUGGCCACGCAACGGUUUUGGAACCCUAGAUGGUCUCGAAUGGAAAAGUCAUGAAUACCAAUAUUGUUCCACUCAUCAAAAUCUACAUUUAAUAUAUAGACCACUUUUGAAUUUGACAAAGUUUUAGGAAGGUGUAGUUGAAAAUCCACAAUUGACACAUAUAGUUUCAUAUAGUUUGUGUGAGAUUCAAGAAUUGGUGGGUAUUGUUAACUUAAACUUUCUCAAAUGAAAAAGUUGUGUAUAUAAAAAGUUUAGAUCUUGAUGAUAUCUAACAACUUGGUAUUCAAAAUUUUUUCAUUUUAAGUAAUUUAGUUUGUCAUUUGACCAAGUUUGACCAAAACCCGUGUGGGAUUUUAUAGAAAUGUGAUUAGGAUUGGCUAAAAAUUAUCCAAAUGGAAAAUAGACAAUAUAUAAAAUGUAGAUCUUGAUGAUCUCUAACAACUUUGUAUUCAAAAUUUUUUCAUUUGAAGUCAUCAAAUGGGCCAUUUGAUCAAGUUUGACCAAACUCAAAGCAUUGGUUUUUACAAAAACACUCUUUGACCGAACUCUAGAUUGUCCCAAAUGGAAAAGUCAUGAAUACAAAGUUUGUUACACUCAUCAAAAUUCACAAUUCUCAAAUACAGUUUCAUACAAAGUUUGUUACGGUCCACUAUUGUUAAGGUCCACUGUUGUCAUCCCAUACUCCUUGUCGACUGUUACCCCACCUCCGGUCAUCUUCACCAAUUGACACCGGAACAAAGGAACUUUAAAAUUAGCUGCAUAGACUAGUUCCCAUAUGUCUUCUAUGCGUCCAUAAUAUGUUUGUCUGUUCCCAUUUGGAUCUGUGGCAUCCACGCGUACACCACUAUUUUGGUUGGUGCUCCUUUUAUCUUGGCCAACUGUCUAAAAUGUGUUACCAUUUAUCUCGUACCCUUUGUACGUGAGGACAUGCCAUGAUGGUUGCCUGGCCAACAAAUAAAGCUGCUCAUUAAUGUUUUCAUCACCUUGACAUUUUUUGUGCAACCAAACGCCAAAAGUUUCCAUGUGGUGACGCAUUAUCCAAGCUUCAUUCUUCCCGGGCCACUGGGACCGUAGGAAAUCUUUGUGUACCUCAACAUAUGGUUCCACCAAUGAGGAGUUCUGGAGAACUGUGUAGUGUGCUUUAUUGAAGUAAUCGUCUCCCAUACCAAUGUAUGUUUUCUUCCCAAGUGUUCCCUUUCCACUGAGUCUGCCCUCGUGUCGAGAUUCAGGAAUGCCAAUUGGGUCAAGGUCUGGAAUAAAGUUAACACAGAUCUCUAUGACCUCCUCUGUUUCGUAGCCCUUGGCAAUGCUUCCUUCUGGCCGGGAAUGACUAUGGACAUAUUUCUUUAGAACAUGUUGUGUAGGAACACAGGACCGAGAAUAUGAAUCUCUUUGACGAGAUGAACUAGGAGGUGUUUCAUGAUAUCGAAGAAGGAUGGAGGGAACACCAACUCAAAGCUGACGAGACAUUGAACGACAUCAUUCUGCAGAGUAGCUAGUUGCUCUGGAUUGAUUGCCUUCUGAGAAAUUGCAUUGAGUAAUGCACAUAGCUUUAUGGUGGCUAGACGUACGUGUGGAGGUAAAAUUCCUCUUAAAACGACCGGCAGCAAUUGCGUCAUUAGAACGUGACAGUCAUGGGACUUCAAGUUCAGGAAUUUCUUCUCUGGCACAUUAAUUAUUCCCUUGAUAUUGGAGGAGAAUCCAGAUGGGACCUUGAUGCUGCUAAGACAUUCAAACAUGCUUUCCUUCUCUUCUUUGCUCAGAGUGUAGCUAGCAGGGCUUAAGUAAUGACGUCCAUCAUCUGUCUUUUCUGGAUGCAGGUUGUCUCGUUCUUUCAUGUGCUGCAAGUCUUGUCAUGCUUCAAGUGAAUCCUUAGACUUCCCGUAGACACCCAUGAAUCCGAGCAAGUUCACACAAAGAUUCUUUGUCAGGUGCAUCACGUCGAUCGCGUUGCGGACCUCUAGGACAUUCCAGUAAGGUAGCUCCCAAAAUAUGGAUUUCUUCUUCCACAUGGGUAUGUGUCCCUUAGCAUCCUUGGGAAUAGGUUCGCUGCCUCGUCCCUUUCCAAAUACCACUUUUAUAUCCUUGACCAUUUUGAGUACAUCAUCCCCGGUUCGAUUGAGAGGUUUGGUCCGGUGGUCUGCCUUGCCUUUAAAAUGCUUGCCUUUCUUUCGUACUGGGUGGCUCACAGGAAGAAACCGACGGUGGCCAAGGUACACGACCUUUCGACAUUUUUUCAAAAAUACAUAGUCAAGGUCUUCAUAACAAUGUGUGCAUGAAAGAUUACUCAGAGCUGGCCAAUCAUUGAUUGUUAUAAACAGCAAUGCUCGCAGGUCAAAGUGCUCUUGUUUGUACUCAUCCCACACACGAACUCCUGGUUUGCUCCAUAAAAGUUGAAGUUCCUCAACUAAUGGCCUUAGGUAGACAUCUAUGUCAUUGCCAGGUUGCUUCGGUCCUUGGAUAAGCACCGGCAUCAUAAUAAACUUCCGCUUCAUGCAUAGCCAUGGAGGAAGGUUGUAGAUACAUAGAGUAACUGGCCAAGUGCUGUGACUACUGCUCUGCUCACCGAAAGGAUUCAUACCAUCUGUACUUAAGGCGAACCGCAAGUUUCUAGCAUCAUCUGCAAAAUCUGGGAAUUCUCUGUCUAUCGCUCUCCACUGGGAUCCAUCGGCAGGGUGUCUCAGCAUAUUGUCUAUCUUACGGUCUUCUUUAUGCCACCGCAACAACUUUGCAUUGUCCUUAUUUCUGAACAGACGUUUUAAUCAUGGUAUUAUAGGAGCAUACCACAUAACCUUGGCAGGAAUUUUCUUCCUAUGACGUUCUUCACCCUCAACAUCGCCAUGAUCAUCUCGUCUAAUCUUAUACCGUGAUGCCUUACAUACUGGACAUGCAUCCAAAUUCUCGUAUUCCUCCCCACGGUAGAGGAUGCAGUCAUUAGGACAUGCGUGUAUCUUCUGGAUUUCUAAUCCCAAAGGGCAGACAACCUGUUUUGCUUCAUACGUAGUGGUGGGCAAUUCGUUGCCUUUCGGAAGCAUCUUUUUUAUGAUCUUCAAUAACUGCCCAAAUGCCUUGUCAGAUGUACCAUUCUUUGCCUUCCAUUGCAGCAAUUCUAGUGUGGUACCCAGCUUUUUUUGCCCCUCUUCAGCGGUGGGAUAUAGCGAUUUCCUGUGGUCCUCUAGCAUGCGCUCGAACUUGGCUUUCUCUUUAUCACUUUCACAUUCUCUUUGUGCAUCACGGAUGACAUCACCAAAAGCAUCAUCGCCCCGAUCAUCUUCUGCCGCUACCUCUUCUUCAUUAUCUCCCCCCAUUGCAACAUCAUUGAAGCCACCGUACUGAGCAAUAAUAUUGGCAUGGUCCAAUUCUUCUUCUUUUUCUUCACCUUCAUCUAUUAUAAUCCCGCUUUCUCUAUGUUUGGUCUAACAAAUAUAGUUUGGUACGAAACCAAACUUUAAUAAGUGUGAAUGAAGAGUUCUUGAGUUAGAAUAUUCCGUCAAAUUCUUGCACACGGCACAUGGACAGCACAUGAAACCAUCCCUCUUAUUUGUCUCGGCCACUUAAGAAAUAGUGCACGCCAUUAAUGAACUAUUCGGAGCGCCGAUCGGCAUUAUACAUCCAAUUACGUGUUACCAUCUGCAUUAAAUAUAACAUAUAUAUUAUGAAAUCCAUGCACACAUAUAGUUUCUCAUCUUAUUGCACAACAUGUCUAAGAUACAUAGUUGAUUAAUUUAGGAAAGCUUUGGCUACAACAAAUACAAUCGCAACUAGAACUAAAAAACCAAAACUAAAAUGCACUUAAGCAACAUAAUUAGUUCGCGUCCGAUCCCAACUAUAAUAGAUAGAUCAUUCGCUUGAUCAACAUCAUUGAACUCCUUUCGUCGGCUCACUGCCUCACCACCUUCAGCCUCAACCAUCUGUGCAAAUGAUUUCUUAAUGUGUUCAAUGUAUUCUUCCUCCCAGUACCAACCUGUACAUCCACCGGUACCGUCCCACUAAAAUUAAAAGAGAGAAUCAAAAGUUUAAUUAAUAUCAUUUAAAAAAAAAUAUGCACAUAUAUAAGCAAAUGUCUGGAAAUAACUCACAUUACGAUCCGGACACUUGUAGAAUAUACGACCCUUGUUUACUCCCUCUUUCGACACUUUGUACUCCAUCAAAAUCUUCUGCCCACACUUGCCACAAGAAAUGAGAGGGAGUUCCGGACGGUAUCGCUUUUGAACCCGUUGAGAGACCGAAGACCCGGUCACGGUUGCCAUCUACUAUCCAUACUCAAUUUUUAAACAAUUAUAAAUUCCACAUUUACUAGUAAACAUGUAUGAUUAAAGAAGAACCUAAUAAUAUCCUUUAUUUGUCUAGUUACUUGAACAAAUCUUCUAAAUUAUACAAUGGACAUUAUGUAGUAAUAAAAAUAAAUCAAGUGAUAUUAACAAACCAAUUAAUUUGAACUAUCCUACUUUCUAAGAUCAUAAAAAGAUACUAUAAUUCAUUCUUGCAAACUACAUUAAUACUAGGUCAACCAUGAAAUAUGAUAUAUAUAUAUAUAUGGAUACUAAUUCAUGUGAAUGAUUCAAAAUAACAACGUGGAUUUGAGCUAAAAAUAAUGGGAACAUCACAAGCCAAAAACAACAUGAAAAAGACAAGAAAGACAAAAGUUAGUCACCUCCAAACACGAAGAAACGAUGACGGAGUCGAAGAAGAUCAACAAUGGGGGUCGGAGAUGAAGAACAAAUGAGGAAGAAGAAGCUCCAAGAACAACAAUGGUGAAUGGUGCUCUCGGUUUCAAAUGGGCAGAGAGGAGGAGUGAUCCAGCCUAUAAGCCUAUAAACCGGUUCAGGGACAAAUCCGGUGCUAAAGGCUUUGCCUCGGCCUGUGGCGCUGGCCGGUGCUAAAGGGGACCCUUUAGCACCGGUUGGUAACACGAACCGGUGCUAAAGGGUCUCUGCCCCGACAGCACCUGUCAGUAGCCGUUGGGCAGGACCCUUUAGCACCGGUUCGUGUUACGAACCGGUGUUAAAGGGGUCUUUAACCCCGGGCCGUAAAAAGGCCGAGGUUUUUGGCCAUUUUGGGCAUCGACCAAUGCCUCAUUCUGUAGUAGUGGAAGACAAAAACCGCAUGGCUGGGGGCGGCGGUGUUGGGUAUUUUAAACGCAAACAGAAAAAUCCGCAAGCGCACAGAUACCGAUGUAGCUUUCACCCGGGAGUAUUCCAGAGUAUCGAUUUUCCACAGAGAACGUGAGUGUACUAAUUAAGACCCAAGAUCGCCCAAGGAUAACUAUAUAAUUGUUUUUGGUGGGAAGAGAGGAAGUUUCCUGAGAGUUCUCUAGUUGAUCUAAGAAUCAAGAAUUACUUCAAGAUUAUCUAUUUCGGGACAUCAGAGCACUAACCACGGAAAGAGAUGAGAAGGGGGCUAGGAAGGUCUGACUACGGUCCUACAAACACCGAUCCGAACGUGGUGGAAUACGUCGACCGUUAGGGCUGUCACUACCCUAGGGCUACCACAACAAUCCGUAGGAUUGGGUGCAAUUCCAGGUAAUCACAAGACUAAACACCACGUCUAAUCUAUUAAUUACUACUCUAAUGUUUCAAAGACUAGAGCACUUGAUGCAAGCGGGAAUCCAAUAAAUAACUUGAAUGUAAAUAAAAGCAAUUAGAGAACUCAGGAGUUAUGAGUUGAAGAACCUGGAGAACGAUGAAGAAUGAACCAGAUGCUGCAAAAGUACAAUGUUGAGGAAGAUCCGACAGAUCCGGCUCCUCCUCCGCUCUCCUCUUCUCUCCCCCUAUUUUCUAGAUUACAACUAGAACUAACUAGAACUAGAACUAGAGGAACUAGAACUAGAACUAGAUGAACUAGAACUAGAUCUAGAUGAACUAGAGGUAGAACUAGAAGAACUAGAGGGAUCCUCUCUACUUGGAUGAAGAAUUGAAACCCUAACUUUGAUUCUGUAGAAGAGGUAUGAUCUCCAGGGGCCAGGAGGCCUUGCUUAUAUAGUCUUUUCAGAUGAAUCUGGGCCGUCGGAUCAAACCGACAUUGGUCGUGUGGUUUUUCUUGAAGUAUUAGGUCGGUGGAGCAUGAUCCGCGAAACGUGUCCUGAUUGGGCACUGUAGCUGGGCGGGCGCCCAGGAGAGUUGGGCGGGCGCCCUGCCUCCGAGCCCGAUUUCCUUCCCGUUCGUUCCCGUGGCUUCUAGAGUCUUCUAGAUAAUAGACCCGACGUGUGGGCCUUUCUUCCGUAUUUCCUGAUAACCCCCUGUAGAAAUAGACAAACACCAAAACUUGUAGAAUUCUGUCAGAUAAAACCCUAAGUCUAGGUGUUGGUUGCAUUUAGAUCCUUUUCCAUGAUUAAUUGAUGGUUAAAUAUGAGCAUUAAGGACCGUCAACAAGCUCCCCCAAGCUUAACCUUUGCUCGUCCCUGAGCAAAGAUGAACUCAAGAGUUUCUGCAGUGGUUUCAUAACUUAAAGAUACACAUGCGUUUAAACAAGAUCUCAUCUCUGGUUAGAGUAAACUGUUAAGACUUAAAACUUACUCAUUUACCUUUCACCAUGGGACUUGUAACCGUCACUUCUGUCUUGAGUAGUUAAAAGAUAGAACAGUCUAGUCAAGCGCCAUGUCUCUUGUUCUUCGAUUAACUAUAGCUCUGGAGUUUUUGCAGAUUUUCAAAUAAAACUCAGAGAUUCCUUGUAUGACUCUCUCUAGUCUCUUUUUUGUGGUAUUUCUGGAUGCUUACCAAGGCAGUAAUGGUGUAUACCUUCUCUCAAAGUAUGUGGUAUUUUUGGUAUGAGGCAUAGUGACAUUGCCUUCUCUCUCACCCUACUCUAAUAAGGCUUUUGAUAUCUGGAGCUCAUAGGUGCGAGACAGCUAAUACAUACUUACAAGACAUUUAUUGCAUAGUCAAACCAUGGAUCCAGAAGAACAAGUCAAUAAGUCAAAUCAAGAUGUGCAUGUGUGGCGAAUGAAUGGUGUAUGGUGAUGAUGGUGAUAACGAUGGUGAAAGUCUAAUUCUACUUAUGCUCUUUUGAGGGGAUACAUACCUUUCUUGCUCUUUUGAAACUUUUUGAGGAGAAUGAGAUGCUCUAUAUUUUCUUUUUCUUUCCUCUCAGGUGGGUAUCUUGUACCCCUAAUUCUACUGUCGGACACUUGUCCAUUUUUACCUCUCGUCUCACUUUUUUCUUUCUUUCGAGGUUCCGGGCACUUGCCCCUUUUUAUUUCCUCGUAUUUUUUUUCUAUUUUUUUUAGAGCACUCAUCUCUUGAAAUAAUGUAGCAAGUGGUAGUAACCAAGAUAACUUGAGCAUUUAUUUCACAAGGGAAAAACAGAAAUGUUUUUGGCUAUUCUCUCCCGGAUUAGGAGUAGAAUAUUUUUGGGUGGUUCUAGAGAUGGAAAUGGAUGGAUAUAUGUGGAUGCGUACUUCCAGAGUAGAAGCAACAUGUGUGAGUGAACGUGCAAGUGAAUCUUGAUUUAACCACAUGAGAAGCUCCUAAGGGUCUACAUAGCUUGACCACACUCAAUGCUCAUAAGCAGUAAAAAGUAAAUGUGUGGCUCAUAGUCUAACAAGCAUGUAUGUAUGGCUGUGGUAGGAAUUUAAACUCUCAUCAUACAGGAACUCAUCAUGUGUUAUUUUAAAGAUUUUCAAAGAUGAAAUUCUCCAGAAUUCUAGCAUCUCUAGGAACAGAUAAACAGCAGCUCAACCUUCCCAUAUCGUAUCCGUUAACGACUUAGACUUUAGAUCAAGUACUCUCCCCACAAGUUCAGGUUUAGAGCAAAUCUUAAUUAAUAACAGUCAUGCCUAAACUUGAGAGAGAUUUCAAUUUUGAGAACUAGUCAUGGCAGAGCAACUAUUCAUCAUUUCCAUGUGAGAGCUUAUCAUGAGGGUUCAUAGCUAACUUUAUUUAUUUAUUUAUUUAGCAAACUAAGCAAAGAUAUCUAAGCACAAAAUCUUUAUUUGGGUUUUUAUGAUUAUGCAUCUUUUUAUUAUUUGAGUAAAGUAUAAAUGUGAGUAAAAUACUUAGCUAGAUAAAUGGGGGUGCUCUCCCCCAAGCUGGAUUUUGACGCAAUUUCUUCUAAUGUAGCUAGCAGGCGGCGGAGGUGUAUUUGAAUGUUGGCAGCACCCUGACAGUGAUUAGGAUGUCCUCCGUCUGCUAGUCUUCUUUGAUCCUUGAAUUCUGUGGAGCUCAAAUAGACAACAAAGCUUUGUGGAACUGGUUAAGUGUUAGCAUAAAUAUCUAGCCUUUAUCAUGUUGAGCCUCCUCAAUAAAUGUUACUCUCUUUAGUAGGAUCAUAAAUUUAUUUUUAUAAUUUUAUAUUUAUAGGACAGGAAUAUAUUUAUUUUAUUUUUAUGCCACCACAGUGAAUGUACUUAUGGGUUUUAUGUCAUGAGCAUACUCACAUGGGGCUUACUAUUUUUAACAUUUUUAUUUUCUUUCCAAGAUGAUAUGAACCUGAUUAACUAAGCAAACUAUUUUAAAUAAUUAAAAGGAAAAAGAUAACUACCAAGUUUACCUCUUGGCAAGGCGUUCGGUGUUUUUAAGUCCUCCGAACGGGACUCUCUGCUUUCUCAGUCGUCCUGGGAUUCGCUAGAUGGCGUAGUCAGUGGUUCCGGCGGUGCCUCCUCUUCAUGUAUAACUAUCUUCUCUCUGCACACCUGACUCGGUGCUACGGUCUCCUCAGGACAGUUCUGUUCAAGUUGUUUGUCUUCAGACCUUACCACUUCUCCUUCGUAGUCUGCCCAUCCAUCUUUGAUGAUUUGCCUCCUCUGGUUGCGGUUGCGUCGUCUUCUUCUUGUCCGGACCUGCUUAGAGUCUUCAACUAUAUAGUUAGGGUCAGUUAAAUAGCGGCGUACCUUCUCAGAGGGGAAGUUCAUGUGGAUUUCUCCGGUUCCAAUGUAGAUGAUUGCUUUAACGGUGCUGAGGAACGGUCUUCCAAGGAUGACGGGUGGAUUGUGCUCGUCUUCUCCCAUGUCAAUAACCUUCAAUCUUUCAGAAUGUCUGGAGCUGAAAGUAUGUUGGUUGUAGGAACAUGGUUCCAUGCAGGAGCUGAUAAGUGACUGCGGCCAUUAUGUUGACGUUAGAUCCGGUGUCGUAGAGUGUCUUCUGAAAAGAAUAUCCGUUGAUUGUGCACUCGAUGAUUGGAACACUAGGGUCGUCCUUCUUGAUCAAGAAAGGCGACUUGAGUUGACGAUCUUGACCUCCUUGAGCUGCAGUGACCAUCUUAGCUGACUCAGUCCACAUUUGCUUGUUCCUGUUCCCCCUGUUGAUCAUCUCCCUUGGUUUAUGUCAGGAAUGCUCUGAGAUUUGUGUAGUCUUGUUUUUGAAGGAAAACGUCUCCUUCCUCCCCUUGAUGUAGAAACUAAUCUUGGCAGCACUAGCGUAGAUGACAGCUCCCGAGGUGUUCAGGAAUGGCCUCCCUAGGAUGAUGGGUGCCCUCUCAUCAGUAUCAGUCUCUAUCACCACGAAGUCUGCUGGAGCGUAUAAGGUACAAACUCGGACGUAGAGGUUCUUCAAUAUUCCCUUUGGGAAACUUAGCGUAUGAUCUGCAAGCUGCAAACACAUGGCUGUCUCUAAUAAAGGAUGUGUAAAUAAUUUUUCAUAGAGUACCCUGGGCGUAAUGUUGACACUGGAGCCAAAGUCGCAGAGUGCUUCUAGGAAGUCCACCAUGCCGAUGGAGAUCGGGAUGACGGGGCGUCCUGGAUUGUCUCUCUUGACCGGCAGAAGGUCAGUAAUUACUUCCACAACGGGGUUACUCCAGUAGUUACGUCCUCAAGCAUCUCAGGGCAGUGAUUGCCUGAGUGUCCAGUGUCUCCAGUGUGUGUGUGCUCAUAGACCUAGGUUCUUCACUUUGGUGGAGUUUGGGAGUUGUAAAACUCCUUCAUAUUUUGCUCAAAGUGUACCUGCUCAUAGAGACAAGGCAGAGAUCAAGUGCAUGGGCCCUGUUGGUGGAAAACACCAACAGAACCAAAAGUGUAUUUGUUCUCCUCUAACCUCAAGCAUAGUGAGCAAGACAAAGUUGAUGGAUAAUAAGAUCAUGAGUGUAGCAUUUAAAACAUUUGUCAGAUAAGAUCGCUCAACCUAAUGGAAAGAUAAUCUAUAUAUACUUAUGUUUUUUAUAUAUAUCUUCCAAAGAUUGAGUGUGCAACCUUUUAGCUCAUAUGAUUAGGAGUGUGGGAUCACAAAGGUGGAAGGACUAAACAUGUUGAAUCGAUUGGGUUGGUUAAUCUAGAGUUGUAAAUCAUACAUGUUUGUCUCUUAUAUUCAUGUGAACGCCAGAACCAAGGAGAAGCUUAUAGAAGUGAUAGUCAAGUACCUUAAGAUGUUACCUUACUUGAAGAGUGAUGGUACAGUAUCACCUUGUGGAAGCUUUCCUCUCUUAGCGGUUGUGCAUCGUGUUUGUGGCACCCUCCAUGGAUCAUCUCUUGUGAGCUAUGCCUUCCUCGUGCAAAUUGUUAAACUUCAUGUGUCUUUCUCUUUGUCUCCAAUGUGAGUUUAUCUCAGGACUUCCCAGGUCGAUAUUGAAAGUUUUCCAGUAGGGGUUAGUCCAACAAAAUAUCCAAUAUCUACUAUAGCAUACUAUCGGCUCAUAGAUCAACCUAGACACCAUGUCUAAUUUGAUUUAGGAGGGAAUUUUAACCUAAGCAUCAUGCUUAAUUUAAAAUCCUUUGGAAGUAAGAUCAUCAUUCCUAAACUAAGCACCAUGCUUAAUUAAGAGAUAAAUGAAACUACUCCAAGCCUAGACAUAUACUAAAGCAAAUAAAGGUAGCAUGAGAGCAUUUAUAGAGAUCUACUCAAGUGAAGAUGAAGUAGUGUGAUUAGUAUUUAACAGAUUGAGCAUGUCUCAAAGGUAGGGACAACCAACGUAGCAACAUGGCAAAUGAUGUUUUUAUGUAAAGUACUCCCCCAAGCUUGAAUUUUGCAAAAUUCAAGUUUGGAUGAAUUUAAUUCAAUGUUGUAUGAUGAUUGGUUGGACAUACCUUGUGCUUGUCAUUCAUCCGAUCUUCUUGCUCUAAUCCUGAAAAGGUUAGUGACAAGAAUACCCGAAGGAAUUUUUUACAAUUAUCCUUAUAUGCUCAAUACACAAGGUAAUGUUGUAAAUAAUUAAGAGCUUAUGUUACAAUCUGAUCAGUGCUUGUUUUAGGACACUAAGCUUGUCCUUGGGAAACCAUUAAUUUAUGUCAGAGAAGUGGUUUCCCCUCCAACUCUGACCUAUAUCAAGAUCAACUCAACGAGAUUUGCAAUAUUUAUUAUAGACAUAUGCAUCGACAACCGCCCUUUUAAAGUUUUUAUAAAUAGAAAGGAUGAGAGGAUUCGAGAUCUCGAAUGUGGUGAUGUUGGAAAAACCAAUGGAUUGGGAAGAUGUUGCAUAUGAGCAUGGAGUAAAUGAAGUGGCUAUGAAAUAAAUUCCAUGUUCAUUAAUGCUUAGAGUGAAAUCCAUGUGGUAUGGUGAAAAUGAUAUGGUGAGUGCGGUAAAAAAGGAAAAUAAAAAGGAUACACGGACGACUUGGUUCGAAACUAGCACAGCUACCGUUCCCCGGCAACGGUGCCAGAAAGCUUGUUGGGUAUUUUAAACGCAAACAGAAAAAUCCGCAAGCGCACAGAUACCGAUGUAGCUUUCACCCGGGAGUAUUCCAGAGUAUCGAUUUUCCACAGAGAACGUGAGUGUACUAAUUAAGACCCAAGAUCGCCCAAGGAUAACUAUAUAAUUGUUUUUGGUGGGAAGAGAGGAAGUUUCCUGAGAGUUCUCUAGUUGAUCUAAGAAUCAAGAAUUACUUCAAGAUUAUCUAUUUCGGGACAUCAGAGCACUAACCACGGAAAGAGAUGAGAAGGGGGCUAGAAAGGUCUGACUACGGUCCUACAAACACCGAUCCGAACGUGGUGGAAUACGUCGACCGUUAGGGCUGUCACUACCCUAGGGCUACCACAACAAUCCGUAGGAUUGGGUGCAAUUCCAGGUAAUCACAAGACUAAACACCACGUCUAAUCUAUUAAUUACUACUCUAAUGUUUCAAAGACUAGAGCACUUGAUGCAAGCGGGAAUCCAAUAAAUAACUUGAAUGUAAAUAAAAGUAAUUAGAGAACUCAGGAGUUAUGAGUUGAAGAACCUGGAGAACGAUGAAGAACGAACCAGAUACUGCAAAAGUACAAUGUUGAGGAAGAUCCGACAGAUCCGGCUCCUCCUCCGCUCUCCUCUUCUCUCUCCCUAUUUCUAGAUUACAACUAGAACUAACUAGAACUAGAACUAGAGGAAAUAGAACUAGAACUAGAACUAGAUGAACUAGAACUAGAUCUAGAUGAACUAGAGGUAGAACAAGAAGAACUAGAGGGAUCCUCUCUACUUGGAUGAAGAAUUGAAACUCUAACUUUGAUUCUGUAGAAGAGGUAUUCUCUCUAGGGGCCAGGGGGCCUUGCUUAUAUAGUCUUUUCAGAUGAAUCUGGGCCGUCGGAUCAAACCGAUAUUGAUCGUGUGGUUUUCCUUGAAGUAUUAGGUCGGUGGAGCAUGAUCCGCGAAACGUGUCCUGAUUGGGCACUGUAGCUGGGCGGGCGCCCAGGAGAGUUGGGCGGGCGCCCUGCCUCCGAGCCCGAUUUCCUUCCCGUUUGUUCCCGUGGCUUCUGGAGUCUUCUAGAUAAUAGAAAAUUGCGCGACACGUUAAUAUCUCUAUGUAAACCCGACGUGUGGGCCUUUCUUCCGUAUUUCCUGAUAACCCCCUGCAGAAAUAGACAAACACCAAAACUUGUGGAAUUCUAUCAGAUAAAACCCUAAGUCUAGGUGUUGGUUGCAUUUGGAUCCUUUUCCAUGAUUAAUUGAUGGUUAAAUAUGAGCAUUAAGGACCGUCAACAGGCGGCUAUAUUAGGGUCGGAGUAAUUAACGGGUGCUUAGCGGACCCGUUUGUUUUCUCUCAACAUUAUGCGGAUUAUAUUUCUUUAGUAAAGCCUUAUGUACACUGCAGUGGGUAGACCAAACAAAAUUAAUGCAAAGAAUUAGUAAUAUAUCAUAUAAUCAAUAAAAUAGCAUGCUCAAAUGUUAAAUUUAACUAACUCAGGCAAUGUAGCACACUCAUCCGUAUUUGUUAGUAUGUAGUGCCUUAUUCUCAACAUCUCAGAGUCGUCCAACACCUCAGAACUAUAACCUUUCCUACUGUAGUCAAGGUCACCAAAAACGCUCAAACCAGAUGGUGGUUCAAGCACUGCGGCGCUUUCAUGGCGCUCUGGGCGACUUGGCAUAUCUUUGAAGAACUCAGAACAAAAUGUCAUGCACUCUUCUGUGAUAUAUCCUUCUGCUAUUGAGCCUUCAGGAUGUGCUUUGUUCCUCACAUAACCUUUUACCGUACACAGAUAUCUCUCCACAGGAUACAUCCAUCUAUAGCAUACAGGUCCACCAAGUGAAGCCUCUUCAGCUAGAUGAACUGGCAAAUGUACCAUGAUGUCAAAAAAAGCAGGUGGAAAUAUCAUCUCAAGCCGACAUAGAGUCUCCCUAAUCGAAGUACUCAUGUUAGCAAGCUCCUUUUCAUCUAGCUCCUUUGAACAAAGCAAACUAAAGAACCUACUCAAGUCAUUCAAUGGGACAACAACUUCUUCAGGCACAAUGUUGCAUAGUACUAAUGGUAAAAGUUUCUGGAAUAUAAUAUGAUAAUCAUGAGUUUUCAGACCAGACAACGGACACCGAUUUUGAUCCACACAUCUUCGAAUAUUGGACGCAUACCCAUCAGGCAACUUAACUUCAUGAAGAAAUUUGCAUAAAAGUUUCUUGUCAUCUUUUCCUAAUUUGUACAAAGCAGGUGGUAAGGUGAACUUACCAUUGUCACGCACUGGAUGUUGAUCCAUCCUUAUCCCGAGAUGUUGCAUGUCAAGCCGAGCUUCCUCAUUAUCCUUACUUUUACCUUCUAUGUUUAGCAAAGUGCCCAAUAUGGUCUCACAUAUAUUUUUCUCGAUAUGCAUCACAUCCAAGUUGUGCCUAAUAAGCAAAUUUUUCCAGUACGGAAGCUGAAAGAAAAUACUCUUCUUCCUCCAGUUGUGUCAUCUCUUUUCUUCAUCAUGCUGCUUCCUUUUUCUUGAUUCAGGACCGAAUUGGACUUGAUCAAAACUAUCAUAGUGUUGCAACACCUGUUCUCUAGUUAGUGGUUGUGGUGCCUCCCUAUUUUCUAUCUUGUUGUUGAAGCUGACCUUGUUUUUGUGCCACUUGUGGUCCAUAGGAAAAAACCGACGAUGCCCCAUAUAGCAAUGCUUCCCACCAUGUUUCAACCAUAAGUAUUCUGUUUCCACAUGGCAGUAUGGACAUGCAAACUUACCUUUCGUACUCCAUCCAGAAAGCAUUGCGUAUGCUGGAAAGUCAUUAAUUGUCCAUAGUAGAAUUGCAUGCAAAUCAAAAUUCUUCCUCUCCUUUGCAUCCCAGGUCACGAUACCCUCUUCCCAGAGAACAUUGAGCUCAUCAAUUAAAGGCUGCAAGUAUACAUCAAUGCUAAUGCCAGGAGACCUCGCUCCUGGUAUCAUCAUGGACAACAUCCAAUACGACUGUUUCAAACACAACCAUGGCGGAAGAUUGUAAGGAAUUAAAAUCACAGGCCAUCAACUGUAUGACACAUUCAACAUACCAAACGGAUUGAAUCCAUCAGAUGCUAGACCAAGCCUGACAUUGCGAGGAUCAUUUGAAAACCAUUCAUAGGUUGCAUCCACAUGCUUCCAUGCUUUGGAGUCCGCGGGAUGUCGCAUUUUUCCAUCAACCACCAAUUCAUCCUUAUGCCAACGCAUAUAUGAUGCUCUACUCUCUGACAUAUAUAUCUUUUGGAGCCGUGGAAUCAGUGGGAAGUACCGUAGGAUUUUACGUGGAACACGCUUGUCUGAGCCACAACUACUGCCAACAUCUUGUACCUUUUUAGACUGCCUCCACCUUGACUCAGCUCACCACAUUUUGGGCAAUUAUCCAGGCCCUCAUAUUCUUUCCCUCUAAAUAACACACAAUCAUUAUAGCAUGCAUCUAUCUUUUCAUAAUUUAAACCAAGAUCUCUAACAACCUUUUUGAUCUUCUCCAUACUAUCUGUCAGAUAGUGCCCUUUAGGAAGAAUUAACAAGAACAGCCCAAGCACGAACUCCAUGCAAGCAUUACUACAACCAAACAUGCACUUCAUCUGAAACAUUCUGACAAUGAAAGACACUUGGGUUGCUUCUGUGCAACCUGGAAACAACUCCUUCUUGGCCUCUUGCAACAAUUUAAAGAAUUUCUUUGCCUUCUCAUUUGGAUGUUCCUCGUCGAGUUCUCCACGUAUCUCUCCCCUGAUCAGUGAAUGUAACAUUUCUUGGGUACCAGCCAUAUCAUCAACAUCAUCAUCACCAUCAAUACCUGAACCUUCACAUAUACUUUCCUGCUCUCGGAUGAAGCUUUCAUCAAAACCUUUCCUAAGCAAAUGCUUCUGGACAUCUGACCGUUUUCUGAAUGACAUGGAACGGCAUGCUGAACAUGGACAUGGCGCCGUUCCUCCUUUCGAGUUGCCUCCAAAGGUGCUAUCAAGAAAAUCUGUUAAUCCUUGUUGCCACUCUGCAGAUGCCGUAUCCAGCCGCAUCCAACUACUACCCUCAUGUGACAUUGUUUCCAACACCUGGCAAACACACGCAAAGAUAAAUAAGUACAUGCUACGUAUUGCAAACAAAGUCAAAGUAAAUAGCAAUAUGAUUGAUCGAUUAUAACAACCUACUUCUAACAAUUAAUAUUUUUACCAUAAUAGAAAAUUCGGGCAGCACCUUAUUUAAAUACGCAGCAAGAACAAUAAUAUAAAAAACAAACGAAUGUAUGACAAAAUUAACAUGUACGUACCCUCUAGACUAUAUAUAAAUCUUAUAAUAUAUAUAUGUACUAAUUUAUCUUGCAAAGCAAAAACAAAUCAAGUAAACAUAUUUUCAAUUCAAUUAACAUAUUUCAUAAUUAUCGAGGAUCACUCUAAGAUUCUGACAACUAAAUUAGAAGAAAAAUAUGACUACAUGAGUACUGAUGAGUACUACCAGUCCGAAAUAAUUAAUUUAGUUAAAAACAAUUCAAUGAAAAAAAUACCUACAAGUCAGGACAGAUCGGCUAAUCACCUGGUGACUAUUGACGAACUGAUAGAUGAUUUGAUGCAGAAAUCGGCACAGGGCCGGGGCCUGCUCGAUCACCGCGACAACCUAAGCUUGAUCGGCACAAGGAGCAAGGACGCAGCAGGAGAUGCACCUCCUAGUUAGGGUCAGCAGGAGGAUGCGGCGUCGUCUGGUGCAGAUCAUCAACAGAAGCUGCGCCUCCUUGGUCAGCGGCAGGAUGUCAUGUUGACACAGAUUAGCAGUAGAAGAUGCGCCACCUACGGCCAGCGGGAGUAUGCGGCGUUGCUUCACCUCCUAGGGCCAGCGGGACGAUGCGCGGCGUCGCCUGCCGGUCCCCUCGCCCACGUACGUCGGACCGAAAACAAAAAGAACGAGAAAACAGAUCUUACGUAAAUACAUAUGGAGUCCAAACAUGAUUCGAUAGCAGUAUAAAAGAUUUUAUAUACUAGUCCAUGCAUAUACAAAUAACUAGCCUGGUGGUUAUGCAUGAUGUGAACAAACCCUAGGGCAUAGGUUCAACUCCUCUUACAUGUGCUAUUUUUUUAAUUAACAAUUCACUUUUUAUUUAACCUUACAUCAAACACAAAUCUGUUGCAACAGUACUUCCUAAUUGCAUCCAUAACCAACAUAAUGCAUCGACAAAUCAGUCCUAACGCAACCAACGGUGUCCGAUGCAAUAAUGUCUACUAUUGCAUCCCUUGUUUGAAAUGAUGCGAUAGAUCAUAGCUAUUGCAUCGACACGAAUUAUUAUGGCAUCCAUCUAAUUUUUGAUGCAAUAAGAACGACCUAUUGCAUCAAAUUUCUAAAAUUGAUGCAAUAGCGUCCACCUCUUGCAUUAGAUUUGUAUUUGAUGUAAGAGGCCUUGAUGCAAUAGGUAAAAAUUUAGUAGUGCUGUAUGUGUAAGUCCAGUAAGUGAUAUGGAAUAUGCUGCUGAAAUUUUCACAAAACGAGCCAGACUCACAGAAUUCGAACCAAGGGAAAUGGUAACAUUUGACCUUCCUAGAAGUAGUAUUUGUGAAGUUGACUAUACAGUAAUCAAGUCGAUGUCGAGGUUUUACAUGCUAUUGCGUUACUUAAGAGAGCGCAACCAUUUUGACCUCAAUACCACGACAAAUAAUUACGAGGAUUGCCCACAUUUCUGCAACUGUGAGGAGGAACCAAGGAGGUGUUUUGCCAAGACACCAUGGCAACUGGGAGAUGAUUGGCAUGUAUUCGCUCUAAUAAAUAAAGGGGGUGUUAGUGUCAUUGACGCAUCAUCGUCAACGAUGUGAGAAUGAAGUACAUAGCAUAAGUGCAUUGCGUUUUAUAUAAUUUCGGGUUGUUAAUUUACUAAAAUUAGUUUGUCUUAUUGUGAAGGAUGCAAAUUGUAGACUACUACCCUAAAUAUAUCGAGGUCAUGCCAAAAUCAGCACAUGACCAACGGAUCGGGGUAUGUGAGAUGGAGAUGGACAUGUUUGAUGCUAUACUAAGAUGUUUUAAACAUAGUGACGAUAGGUUGUAUGCUGGAGAAGGAAAUUUGGGGUGGCGUCACUUCUUUGAGACAGACGUUUUGGUAAACUUUUCAUACACCUCAAAUAUUUAUAAAACAUUGUCUGUGGUUAUAGAAAAACAUUAAUUUAUUGCAGCGAAUCCUGAAGGUUGGUACAAGUAGCAUAUGGGUUGGGAAAUAAAUCACUGUCAUUCAUAAUUUUAUGCUGACAGGGUUCAGUUCUUGCGGGGUGGUUUGACAUCAAGAUCCAGGAGUGCGAAACCAGUUCAUAGGUUCGAACAUUACAUAUGGCCUCUACAACUGCACCAUGGUAUGUUAUCGGCUAUUAUAUAUAAAUUAUGUAAAUCAAGAUCAUGGCUUACAAUUAACAACUUUGUAUACAUGACCUGAUAUGUUGUUCCUACAGCCUUUCUUCCUAGUGAUUUUGCAGCAGCGGUGGGUUUGUUUCGCCUGGAACCUCGAUUGCAACAAAAUUGUAGUUUUUGACCCAGCUUGCGAUAAUAGAACAGUAUUAUCAAGACAGAGUAUAUACACGAAGGUAGUAGAUAUGUUAAAAAGCACUCUUACAUGUGUGAUGCCAAUUUUAUACCGGGGAUGGGAUCAUGAUUGGAGUGCAGCCAACAUACUUCAUUUCCCUUGGCGCACAAGAGGAAUGAUAUGGUAAGCUUCUGACACAUCUUCACUUGGUAUAUUUACAAAUAAAUAAAUGAAUUCAUAUAAAUAACAAACUAAAACCAUAGCUAUGAGUAUUGGAAGGUUUAAGGUUAAUGCUUUUUUAUAUAUUGUGACAGUUCAAACCAGACUGGUGUCCUUUGUGCAUACUUCUGCCGAUGUUAUGAUGGGCAACGCCUAAUACAAGAUUUGGAAGAAGUAUUACUUAUCUCUAAAAUGAUCUUGCACUGCUUCAUGAAUGUUUAACCUUUUUGCUUGAACCUUGUAAUUUAUAUUUGUAAAAAAACACAUUGCAGGGGCAAGUGGAUCAGAUCGCAACAGCUUCGUUUGCGGAAGCUAGUGGACUAGUAAAGGCAACAUGAAGAUCUAGAUGUACACAAACGUUGGAAGCGGUAGUGGUGGCUAUAAAGAAGGGCACGAACAUCCUAGUGUUGUCGAAUGAAUGUAAACAAUUUGGCUCAUGAUUCAUCUGGCAAGAUCAAUCAGGAGUUUUUGGAUAUUUUAGAAAAUUUAGACAAAGUUGGUUAUUUAACAGUUAUAUUGUAAUCACUCUACGCUCAUUCUGAGCUGAUCUAUGGCAAGCAGUCACCUACAAAAAGAAAGAGAGGAACAACUGAUUAUGUAUAUCUUGUGCCACUCUUCAUCCUAUGGUUAGUCAAACAAUACAAUGUUAUUACAAUCUACAUGCAUGGUUCUAAUAAUGGUAUGUAGCUGAGUGCCAGUCCUUAAUUCAGAAAAGUAAUGACAUGUUCUGCUUUCAAGCAGAAGACGUAAUAAUGUAUUGAUAUGAGACACCUAAUAAAGCUAGACUGAGAUAGUUAUUACAGCCUGAGAAGACUGAGAUACAACACAAAAGCAGCAGUCCAUUACCUGCUCACAUAACCGAUCAUGGCAAUCUGAAACAACCAGCUUCAAUGAGUGCAAAUCACAGCUGUGUUGAUAUAAUGCAAUCUAUGGUACGGGGAUUUGUAAUAUUAGGACAAUACUGCUGUCGUUCCACGAAAAUUGGUGAAGGUGUGCACCACAAAGAGGAUGUACGGUAUACAAUUAAAUUGAAAGAAUGACCACCAGGUAAUUCAGGAUUCUGAUUCAAACAACAGUUGGUUCAUUCCAAACAAUAUAUAUAUAUAUAUAUAUAUCGCAUUUAUUUUACACGCGCGUGUAGUUACUCUCAUCUAUAUAUCUCUAGAUUUAAGGUGUAUAUGACCGAACGAAAUGUAUAUAGACAAAGUAUAUGAUCAUACUAGACCAUCUAGAGUGAUAUGUAUGUUAAGUAUGCAUGCAUACAUAGAGUAUAUGGUUAUACUUAUUAUAUAUAAUAUAUUAGUGGCAUUUUAGUAAUAUAUUUAAAAUAUAAUUUUUUUAAAAAAAAAAUUCGUGUGGUAAGAUCUAUAGUAUCUUAAUAUGAGUAUAUAAACAUACUCAAACCGAUAAACAAGUAUGAAUACAUACAAAAUGUAGUUUAUUAAAGAUGAGAGUAACUACACGUACGUGUACAAAGGAAUUUUCUAUAUAUAUAUAUAUAUAUAUAUAUGGGUAGGUUCAUUUUUAUGCAAGGAGGGGAUUUAGGGGGGGUGAUUGUUCGCAAUUUGUCAUAUACAAAUAUAGAAAUAAUAAGUAUUCCGAACUUGUUUUAGUUCAUGACAAAAGCUAAUGCCGCUACCAUUACAAACUCCAAGUGCGAGAUAAUGGCCAAAAGCUGAAGCGACUGCCAAUCAGAGCAUCACACUAAGGUUGCUGCUAUUCAAGAUCAAUGUCGUGCAGGCUUGUUUGGUUUUGCUGACGCCUAAGGAGGAGAGAACAAACGGACCACUUGAAUGUAACAUCAAGACGCUGCAGCAAGAAAAACACAUAAUUUUAAGUAAUAUUAAUGAUUUAUUCUGAAGUAUGACAAAUAUGUGGUGAGGUGUAUCUCAGUAUAGCUUCUAACUCACACACCUUCCUCGGGGGUCCACGAUAAGAUAAUGUAGAAAUUUCCUUUGACAAAUCUCGAACCAUACAAUCCCCGUCAAAAAGGAAGGCAAACAUUGAAACAAGGAUAGCUUGGUGGUCCGUCGAACUGAAGAGCAGAGAUUAAAAAAACAAUUUAAAAAUGUAAUUAAAAAUCAUGUAACAGAAAGCAAUAUGCUAGUUGAUGUUAACAUAUGAAUUCCAAAACAUGAAGAACAAGUUUUGUCUUUCAUUUGACAUGUACUUUGUUUUGAAUGAAAUCAGGACUGCUGAUGUUGAUUGUGUUGUUAUACAUGUGUAAGCAUUAUGUGCGCUAAUAACCUUAGUUUUUGAGAAAUAUGGGCUACUAUGAUAUACUGGAAUCGGAAGUAUAUAUUGGUCAGCUGCUGUGCGUAUGUUGUCAAGUGUGAGCUGCAGAAAAAGCAGGUUCUGGGUGCGGAGAUUUCACACUACACAUGUCUGAAAACUGACAGUGAUAGAAUAAGAAUCAUUCUCAGCUCAUAUUGUCUGAUUUCAGAAACUGAGUCAAUAGUAAACAUAUAAAAGUGGCAGAAACAACAUAAUAAACCUGUACAUUUCAAUGGGACUAUGCACAUACAAAAUAUAUUUUUGGAAGUCAGUAUCGCAUGAGAUUGUGAUUGGACCUUUGCAUUUUCUCAACCCAGAGACCUGAUCAUAUAACUCUGUAACUAAACCCUAUCUAAUCUGCUCACUUAAUCACCAUCAUUAAAUAAUUUAGCUAACACAGGGCAACUUGUAACAAAAAUAUAAUUCGAACCAAGAGAAACAGUAACAUUACAACUAUCAAAUUUUACUGACCUCAGAUCUAGUGAGCCACCCCAUUGAAAGAUCUGAAAUGACCACUUAUCCACAGUUGGGAAAGCAAAAGAUGAUGACGAGCCCAACAGCGAAAGCAUGGUCCUCAGGAACCUGUCUGAUGCCUUCCUAAGUUGCGUCUCAACAAUGUAGCUUGGGGAAUGUAUAGAGUGUGGCUGAAAUGCGUAAUCUUAAAUUCCCUCAUGUUUACAGCAAAACACGUCCAAGAACCUCCCACUUUUGUAGGUGCAAAGCACUGCAUUUAAUAAUGUAUAUUACGUAAGCUAAUAACAAAAAUAAUUAUCGGUUGUAAUUACUAUUAUUUCUAAUAAUGGUUUAGAGAGACAUCAAAGUACAAUGUGAGAAUGCAAUAAAAUUAUUACACAAAAGAAAAAACUAACCAAUUCACAUUGAGCAGGAUCAAAGCAGAGAUAUGGUGAUCGAAAUAGAGGAUAGAAUUCGCGAGGCUUGAUUAUAGUUUCAGCAGACAUACAUGCAGCCUUCAGUUAAUGUAAUGUGUAUUACACAGCACCAAACAUGUUGCAAAAAACUCGAUUAGAUCUUUAAUUUAAUGAUAACAAUGUACAAUAGCAGUGAAGGAUGCCCACGGUGAACCUUGGAUCAACAAAAAAUCUCCACCGUGAGCCUUGAUAAUUCAGGUACAGAUGAUCAUCAAGUUCUUUGAACAAUGCUAUUAUAACAGCCAUCAUCUUGGUGGAGUACGAUACACCUUGCACAAAAUGUUUGAUGAUUUCUUCCCCUCUUAUUUCAAUGGUAACUGGAGAAUCAAACCGAACCCAUACCCUGUUGAAACAGAUUUAGAUGGAAAUAUAUUAGAUAUUGACGAUUUAUUAGGCAUAGUACGCACUAGAUUAAAGUGAUAAAUAGCUAUUCUUAUCUGCUCUGCUUAUUUCUUUUGUUCCUAGAGUCGUCAUCAGCAGUAUGGCCUGUGUGUCGGUGGGGAAAAGUGACAUACUCAUGAGAUCAAAUGGUUUCUUAACUCGUUUUUGUUUCUUGCCGUCAAUGCGUGUGUUGCCAUCAGUAUUGUCAAUUCGAUUAGUAGUGAAAAUUUCGUGAGUUCUCAAUCCUAUGAAGCAUACAUGUAAAUUGUGUUGUCAAAACUGAACAAAAUACAAAACACAGACACAUAGAUUACACCAAAUAUUGCUAUGGAGAUACAUCUGGGUAAUUAUACUUACUUUUACUGCUCACAGGUCCCUCUACGAAAUCGAUCACAUCAACAAGCAUGUUCAACCCAGGAGUUCCUAAGACAGUAUAAUAUGGAUAAUGCUAAACAAGGAUGUAGAUAUAAAAUAUAAUUUAGUCUUACAAACAAAUAAAAGUAGAGACCUUGCUGAGAUUUGGCUCGCCCGCAAUAAUGCUCUCCUUGUUGGGAUCCAGAUUUAUCAUUAAACAGGAGGACCAACAUAUGACUUCAUCGUUUCAGGUGUGUGAGUAGAUGAUGGUGAGGUGAAACAAUCUACACAAGCAAUCCAAAAUAUGAAAAUGGAAGCUUGCAAUUUAUAAAUGAGUAAACUAAUUAGAAUGCAAUGAUUACUUAUACAGAAAUAAGUAAUCGAUCUUUUCUGCAGUACUAGUGUAUUUAACUAGUGAAAUCUAAAUUUGAACUGUAGUAAAAUUGGUUGAAUCAACUAAAUAUGGUUAAUAUAAACAACAAAAGUUAUAUCUCUCCUAUCGGUGAGUUGUUUACUGAGUCUGAAAAGAAUAUCAGAACUAAACAAUAAUUAUUGAUUUAUGUUGGGCUUGCAGUGGUGUAGUAUAUAUUCUAGGUUAAUAGUUACUUGAUGUAAUUAUUAUAUUAGAAGGUAUUUAAAUCCAUAUAAAUUUGUAUAUUAGAAUAAUAAACUUCAAAGUUACUGAUCAUUAUAUAAAUUUGAGGAGACAUUUAUUCAUUUAAUUCAUUUUUGUUACAUUUAAAAUUGCUGAGAGUGCAGGUCAAAUUACAAACCAUUAAUUGAAGCAAACUUCCCUAAAAGUUUGUUGCGGUCAAUUGGAGCUGCGAUAUUUGUCUUAGCUCAUUAGAUAUACUUAUGAAUACUUCUAUAUUUCCCAGAGCUGUCAUGCUUGUGCGAGGAAAAGGAUGGUUGAUAAGGUUGAAAUUUGGAUGCAACAACAAUGUUUUUCUUUGACAUGCUUCCGGAUAUUGGGCAGGAUGUAUCUGAAAAACACAUCACUCAAAAUAUCAUUGAUAUGGAAGUGAACAUAAAUUAAUCAUCUGCAGUAAUAUAGAACGUUAGUGGAAAAAAGAAUAUAACAAGGCGUUUAGGGGUUUCAAACUACCAGCGCGCUUGGGGUUAAUUGCACCUUGUGUGGUGUGGAGAGCAAUUGAGGGAGGGAUCUCUCGAGUUGUCUCUCCAUCAACCAGUCCUUCCGUAACUGUGUUACUUGAGAUUCAAGUGCAGUAUAUAGAAGCUUUUGAUUGCCCUGUUUAUAAGAUUCAAAUGAAUGUUGGCAUGAUGUAAUGCAGCUAAUUAAUCUGUAACAAUGAAUUUUAAUAAAAGAGUGUCUCAAUUUGUAUGAAAUUUAAUUCAUUUGGAUUAGUUAAUACAUGAUUUCAUAAUAAACCUUAAUAUUUGAUAUAAGCAUAUGGCUAGAUGUAGCUAUUUGUGUUCGUAUAAAGUAUAAUGCAAAAGUACAUAUCUAUUGAGCAUAAAGGGAACAUACUGAAAUGGAACGAGGACUGUCUCCAGUCAGCUUGGACUGCAUCCACAUAACCUCCUUCAUUACUAACCGCAAGAUCUCACGAAAUGGUUUCUCCACAAUAUUAUGCAUCUCAGAUUCCUAACACAUUACAGACAAAAAACUUCAAACUCCAGAGUUUGUAAACAAUUAUGUGACCAACACUUCAUGAUACUAAAUUCAUAGAAAUUGAUUAAAAAUUACUCACACCGACAGACAGCGGCACCAUCCUCACAACUGAAGUAGAAAGAGGAGUGUUGCAUAUACUCUGCUUCUGCCUGGGCUGCUGCUUCAUUAGAUAAAAUUCAAAUGUGAAUAUAGAAGCACACAAAAAAUAAAAAUAAAAACAUAGCGACUUCAUUUGUUGUCUUCACAGAGUGUGGUGUAAAUCAAACUGACUCACCGAAGAUCUUGUUAAGAUACUACUACGGCGUGCUGCUCUAUGUUCUGCGUCAUUAGCUAUUUUAUUUAUAGUCGAUAUAAGUGCAUUGCAGUCGAGCUGUGUUCAGAAAUUAAUUGUGUUAGCAGUCAUACAAGGAUUAUCAACAAAGCAGUCGAGCUGUGUUAAUACACUCAUUGCGAUAGAUGUCAUAUAAUGGCGUGGGGAAAAUGAUGGUUUUAUUUUAAGAAUUGAGUGUGCUUUAAAAUUAUCACUUAGAGCAAUUAAGAAUCUUGUCUAUAGAAAAAUUGCCCUGCACAAGCACAACCGAUCAGUAGCACAUAAUGGAUGGUUACGUCUACUGACAAGAACUGCAACGGUAUGCAUAACCAGAGGAGGAGGUGAAGACAUCUACUGCUACUACUGCAUCUACUCAAUUGAGACUUGCAAGUCAAAAUACAUCUACUGCUACUACUGCAUAUUGUUGAAAAGCAGAUGGAUGGAUACAUCUACUGACAAACAAUGCAACGGUAUGCACAACCAGAGGAGGCAGUGCAAAAACAUCUACUGCUACUACUGCAUCUACUUACUUGAGACUUGCAAGUCAAAAUAUUCCAACUAGGUGAUUUCUUCUUCCUUUCAUCGUCAGAUUUCUCGAGUGCCUUCAGUUCUUUGGUUGUAAAAUAAGCAAUCAGGGGCUUCCCAGAUUCAUGUACAGAAAAUGUGACACCAAUGCACCGAGUGUAAAAGAAUAGCUGAGACAAAAUAGAAAAUAGUGAGGCUUACAACAAGUUAGUGCAGAUGGAAAACAAAAGCCAAUGGGCUAGUUAUACAAAUGUGAGAUUAAUUACCAUCAAUGCUAAUGAUUAAACAGA